This 54693-nucleotide long non-coding RNA is filed under the name Citrus maxima (pomelo). RNAcentral describes it as "long non-coding RNA (CMAX_LNC004029)". Lineage: Eukaryota; Viridiplantae; Streptophyta; Magnoliopsida; Sapindales; Rutaceae. The record is from RNAcentral.
UCUGAUCUUCACUUGGCACAUAACAGAUUUUGAGAUCACCAGAUAACACUUUGUCUCGAAUAAAAUGAACAUCAAUCUCAAUGUGUUUGGUUCUUGAAUGGAACACAGGAUUCUUUGCUAGCUCUGUUGCACUUAUAUUAUCACACCAUAUUGUUGGUCUCUCUACACAGUAUACUUCCAUUUCCAGAAACAAUGACUUUAACCAAGCUAUCUCUGAAGCAGCUGAAGCAAGUGCUCUAUAUUCACUCUUAGCUGAAGACUUAGUGACUAUUGUUUGCUUCUUUGAAGACCAUGAAAUCAGAUUAUUUCCAAGAUACACACAGUAGGCUCCAAUCGACUUCCUAUCAUCCAAGUCACUUCCCCAAUCUGCAUCAGUGAAUGCAGUGAUUUUCAAAUCACCAUCCUUUACAAACUUUAAACCAUAAUCCUGUGUCUCCUUUAGGUAUUUAAGAACCCUUUUGCAAGCCAUAAGAUGUUGCAUAGUUGGUGCAGAAACAUAUUGGCUUAACUUGUGAACAAAAUAAGCAAUUUCUGGUCUUGUCAAUAUCAGAUACUGGAGACCACCUACAAUGCUUCUAUAAUGAGUUGCAUCUUCAACAUAGUAACCCAAUUCUCCUUUAACUACCUUCUGCAACUUUGAGUCUUUGCCACUGCACAUUGGUGUUGUCACUCCUUUGCACUCAAGCAUGUCUACUUUAGCAAGCAAAUCUCUGAUAUACUUCUUUUGAGACAAAUAAAUGCAAUCCUGACCAUACAACACUUCUAUACCAAGGAAAUAGGACAAUCUUCCUAAAUCUUUCAAUGCAAAAACAGUAUUAAACUGUUGAAUGAAGCUGUCCAAUUCUUCAUUGUUAGGUCCAGUAACUAAUAUGUCAUCAACAUAUAUCAAUACCAUAAUGAGUGACACUUUAGUUUUUCUUAAGAAUAAGGAAGAAUCAGAUUUUGAAUUUCUGAAACCCCAUUGAAGAAGACAUCCCCUGAGCUUUUCAAACCAGGCUCUAGGAGCUUGCUUAAGACCAUAUAAAGCUUUGUGUAAUCUGCAAACAUAGUGAUGGGUGUCGAAGCCAACAAAAAUAAAUUCCUACUCUAAAUAAAUUGUGUAUAGUGAUUGAGCAGGGUCGUGUCCACAGAGAUCGGUAAUUAUUUAAAUCCUUUUGAAACGUAAAACGUAAAAUGGGGGAAUUGUAGACAAUAAUAAAAAUCAAAUUAAAUAACAAGAAUGCAAAUUAAAGUUGUAAUUCAAAUUGGAGAAAGCUCUGGUUGAAGGAAUUAACUAAGCUUGAUUCGACUACUGAUCAUUGAUUCAAAUAUAGAUUAUUAUUACUCAUGAAUAGACCGGUUAUAGCUAUUGAGACCCUCUAAUAGCCAAUCUCUCCUUAACUAGUCGAUAACCAAGGUACGACCGUUGGAUAUUUCCCUAAUCAAUAGACAACCCUAGAUACAAUCAUAGGAUUUAAUCAAUUGACAGCCUGAAAAAUCAGAGAGACCCAAAUCCUAAUUAACACAUAUGAUGAUUCAUUUAAAUUAGAUUGUUUAUUCUCACAACACAACUCUCUGCUAUGUUAUUUGUCACAAACAUCAAAUUCUUCAUACGAUGAAUCCUUUAAUUGACAAUAGAUUAAGUUGAUAAUUAAAUAGUGGCCAAUUACCUAAUUAACAAACAUAAUCAUGAAAAUAAUUCAGAGAAUAAACAAAUACCCAAAAAGUAAUAAAACAAUUAAAGCACAAGAAAGAUCUCACAGUAGUGAUGAAUCAAAGCUUCAUUAACCUUCAACCAGAAAAAUGGGUUUAGUUCCUCAUAGAGAGAAGAGAAAAAUUAGAUCUAGGGUUUCUUUUUCUCCAAUCCAAAUCCCCCUUUUUCACAAUAAAUUCUUCCCUUAAAUACUCUCUCUCUCUUCUCUUUUAGAAUUCUAUUUAAAAUAAAAUACUAAUAUCUGAAAUAUUAAAUUCGUAAUUACAAAAAUAACCAAAAAUACAAAACACGUUAAACUAAAAACUGCAGGUCCGCAGUUGACAGCACGCGCCCACGCCUUAUCAACAAAGUUCUUCUGACGCUCAUAAUUUCUCCAAGAGAACAAUCCUCCUUAAACAUCAUCUUUUAGCUCAAUUUUAUCACCAAUCAAUAGAAUUGCACCUACAAAAGUAAAACAUAAGUAAAACAUUAUUAUUAAAUGCAAAACAUCGAUAUUAAGGGAAGUAAAUAAUGCAAAACUAGUGCAUAAAUUGCACUCUAACAAAUUCCCCCACACCAAGAUGAUGCUUGUCCUCAAGCAUAUAACUCAAGAUUAAUCCCAAAUCUCCACUCAAUUCUCAUCUCAACUCAUCCAAAAAUAAUUUUAAGCAAGCAUACCUCAAGAAAUUAAGUCGAUCAACAUUCGAGAGACAAGGACUUUUAAAGCAUAGAAUCUCAUAAGAUAGAAUAAGAACAUUUAACCACCAAGAAGAUCCAUUCAAAAUUCAAGUGCAACAAGAUUUAAUAGCCCUCUCAAUGACUUCACUCCAUGCACUCAAAGUGUUUAGGGUAUCAUCUAUGCACUCAAAUCAAAUCAAAGAAUGCUAUUACCAUAAGCUUGCUCAUAUAUCACAUCUCAAUCCACAAAACAUGAAUAAAAUGCAAAAAUCUAAGGGUCUUAAAAGGGUUGUAAUGGGGUUAAAUAGGUUAAAUGAAAAAGAAAGGUCUAUGAAAGAAAAAGAGAUCAAAAUGAGAAGAAUGAACUCAUUGAAUGAACUUAUGAUAUCAAAAUGCUUAUUUCUACUCAAGUCACCACGAAUGUAAACAUUUUUUUUUUCUUCUUUUUCUCUUUUUUUUUGAUUUUUUUUUUGAUUUUUUUUUCGAUUUUUCUUUUUCUUUUUUUUUCUUUUUCCUUUUUUUUUUUUUUGAAUCAAACAAAAGAAAUGAACCUUGCACAAUUUAAUUCAAGCAUAAUGCUUGUUGAUCUAAUUGAGAAACUUUAAUACAAGGUAGAAAAAGCAACAAAAUAUAUACAAAAUAUAUCCACACAAUGAGUCCAAAAAUCUCCUUAAAUUGAGGCUCAAAAAGAAGAAAAAUGGUUAAGUAGACAGAGAGAAUUAGAUGGGUAAUGGUUAAGGCUCAAACAAAGAUAGUAAAUCAAGGUCUUCGGGUAGAGAAAAAAAAAGAAAAUGCGAGAAUAGAAAAAUGGUAAAUGGUUUGCCCUUAUCAUUUUAAUGCAAAAAUUCCCGUAAUGUGGCUUCAACAUGCAUAACAAAGCAAGUUCUAGAAUAAACAAACUAAGAUUGAUAUUCACAUAAUAAAAAUAAUUAGAGCAAAGUGGUUGCUCAUAGGCUCAAAUCCUCACAAAGUUGGUAAAUUUGCCAUCAAAUCAUGUACACUCUUCAAAUGAAUCAACCAUCAAUAGUGGUGUAGAAUGGGAAGAAGGUAUGAGUGAAGGAAAGGUAAAAAUGAUAAGAAGUGAGAAAGAUGUAUGUAGUAAUAUGAAAAGUGAAAGAUAAAAUGUGAGUGAUGAAAGAGUAUGAUAGAAUAAAAAUAGAUGUAAAUAAUUUGAGAUAGAUGGGAAAAAAGUAGUGAGAAAGAAAAGAAAAGAAAAAUAAUAAUAUAUGAAGCAUACUAACUCCAAAAUCAUUUAAGGAUGAGUAGAAUGAAAAUAGAUGAGUAUAGUGAAAAUAAUACUUCCAGACAUCAAUAAUGCAAAAAUCCCUCCCCCACACCAAGAACUUACAUUGUCCCCAAUGUAAGAUAAUUAAAGCUCACAUAAAAAUUAAAGCGUAAGGAUAAAAGAUUAAGGGCAAAAAGAAACUUCCCUGAAUUGUGAGCUUUGAUCCACAUAACGUCUAUGGGCUUGGCGGAAAUGGUGGGGUAAAACCCACACUCUCGAAGUAUGCGGCCAAAUUCUGCUCCAUUUUGUUCAACUUGUGCUCCAUUUUCUCUAACUGAAUGCUCAAAGGUGGUGCGGAUGUAGAAGGAAUAGUUGGCGGGGCAACAGUGUCGUCGUCAAACUCGUCAUCAGAGGUAGCACCACUCCUAGCAUAAAGCUUCUUCGGAAGUUGAGUGGGUCCUGGUUCAGUAAACUGAAAUCUCCCCUCCUUGAAUUCGACCACACAUGUUCUUUCAAACACAAACAUAUCCAAAAAUUCAUUUUUGCAAGCAGGAUGCAAAUCAUUAUUGUCAGGAUCAAGCACACAUAGGUUUAUAGCUAACAGAGUAAUGUAUGGACCAAGAAAUAAAGUCUUAUACCGUUUAAGCACACUUUGAAAUUGAUCCGCUAACCAAAAACCUAAAUUAGGCCUCACAUCAUUUAACAUGCACCAGAUAAAAUAAAAUUCAGUUUUAGAGAAAAUUCCUGAGUGAUCUUUCUUGCCUAAAAAAUUAUAUGCUAAGAAUCGAUGCACACAUUUCAAAACAGGAUCACGUAAGAAAGAACUCUUUGGUUUACUCGGGUCAUAGGCAUUGUGAUCAACAGAUAAAUUACGCCAAAGACCAUAAGGCUCAAAAUUUUCGCUAAAGUCACAAGUUGUUCCUAAAUAUUCAUCACUAGUAGAAUAAUAAUCAUCAAUGAAUCCUAAAGCUAGGUUAAAAUGCGUGAUAGAGUGUGAAAAAUUUCGUCCCAUUAACCUAAACUUAAUGACAUCCGGGGUAUGCAAAGUAAAAUCAUUCGGCAUAGUGAAUUGAAAAGUAGCAUAAAACUCCCUAAUCAACUCAACAUAACCCAAGCAAUCAACAUCAACAAACUUACGCAACCCAAUCUUAUCUAUCAAAGAAUCAAAAUUAUCUUUAACAUUUAAUUUUUCAAGAGUCGGGUAAUGAAUAUACUUAGCUGGAAGUAUUUUGCGCGUGGAAAUAUCUUUGUACCUCUCUUUCUCUUGUUGAGUCGCGAAUGCGAGGCACCCUCCGAGAUUGGAUUCCGCAAGUGGCAAAACACUCAUGCCUUUUCCAUGCUUCGAUCUUUGUCUCACGGCUUGGCGUGAAUCUGAAAUUAUGUUCCAUGGAACCGUAGUGGGAGCGGCAAUCUUAGAUUUCUUUGCGACGGGUGUCUUUUUCGACGACUUGGAAGUAGAUGCUUUCCUAUUCGGCAUUGUUACAAUAAUUGCACUCACGGAUUUCGAUUUACCCGGCUGGAAUACAGGGCGUAGGCUGGUUGUGUUGCGCUUGCUGCUCGGCUGGAGCUUGUUGCGCGAGUUGGGGCUGGUUGUGCGCGCUGCUGAGGCUUGCUUUGCGGGUGCUGGUUCGUUGCUGUGUUGCGCGCGCGGGGCUGUUGCGCGCGAGAGCCAGUUCGCGUUGCGGGUCUGCGUUGCGGAUCUGUUGCGCUGCGCGCGCGGGACUGAUGUGCUGCGCUGAGGCUGAUUCGCGCUGCUGCUAGUUGCGGUGCGCGAUGCUGUGCGCGGCGGCUGGGGCUGAUUCGCGCUGCGCGCGCAACUGGGGCUUAUGUUGCGCGCUGCGCUGCUGGUUCUGGGCGUACUCGUCUGCUGCUGCUGGUUGCGCGGUGAAGGCUGGAGCUGAUGCUGCUGUAAAACGAUAAUCAACAGUAAUUUUUGAAUUAGGGAUUUGUGAACAGUGAUUUUCGAUUUUUGGUUUUUUUUUAUAUAUAUAAAUAAAUAUAUAAAAGAAAGAAAGGAACGAAAAUAAAUAAAUAAAUGAUGAUUUUCGAUUUUUGGUUUUUUUUUUUUUUUUUUUUUUUUUUUUUUAGUGAUGAAUCACUUUGAGACACUAAAAAUUUCAAAAGUACUUUUCUAAUAAGUACGUGGGCAUGCCUUAUCAAAAAUUUUCUUCUGACCAAAAUAAACAAACAAAUUAAAUUUCAGAAGUAUUUUUCUAAUAAGUACGUGGGCACGCCUUAAAACUUUGAGACAUUAAAAAUCACAGAAGUACUUAUUAGUUAAGACGUGGGCACGCCUUAUCAAAAAUUUUCUUCUGACCAAAAUAAGCAAACUCAUUUUUUUAAAUUUUUUUUUCUUUUUUAAAGAAGAUAAAACAAAAACCAAAAUAAACAAAUCAUUUGGGUUGCCUCCCAAAAAGCGCCUUUGUUUUAUGUCUUUGGCUAGACACAUUUAUGCAUCAAUCUCCAUAAUUGGGACUCUCGAGAGCCACAUCCUCCACAAUAUUCACCGAAAAACCUUCAUAAAAAGGUUUUAAGCGAUGACCAUUAACCUUAAAAACUUUGUCAGAGGUCGGACUCCGAAUCUCAACUGCACCAUGAGGAAAAAUAUUAGUAACAAUAAAAGGUCCAACCCAACAAGAACGUAAUUUAUUCGGAAAAAGUUUAAGCUUAGAAUGAAAAAGAAGAACUUUUUGACCAACAGAGAACUCCUUUCUCAAAAUCAUUGUAUCAUGAAAUGUCUUCGUCUUUUCCUUGUAAAAAACUUCCUGCACUAUAGGGUUAAUAACAUCCACAGAAAAUACCGAAUGUUCCUCACUAGGAUAUUUCAUGGCAUCAUUCAUAUUGAAUUCUAUAACCUCUCCAUCAAACUCCAUAGUGAGAGUCCCUUUAUGUACAUCCAUUUUAGUCCUAGCAGUCUUAAGAAAAGGUCUUCCUAGCAAAAUUGGGACAGAAUUAGAGGAGUUAUCAUCUUCCAUAUCAAGUACAUAAAAAUCAGCAGGAAAAACCAACUCAUUAACUUGUACUAAGACAUCUUCUAAUACCCCAUCAGGAUAUGCAUUAGACCUAUCAGCUAGUUGAAUUAUCACGCCAGUUUCUUUUAAUGGACCAACAUUCAAAGAUGAAUAAAUGGAACGAGGCAUGACAUUAAUAGAAGCUCCUAGAUCUAACAAAGCCUUUUCAAUUCUAACACUACCAAUUUUACAAGGGAUAGUAAACAUACCUGGAUCCUUGCACUUAGGAGGUAGUUUCUUUUGGAGAACUGCUGAAACAUUCUCCCCCAUGUGAACUUUUCCAUCUCCUGUUAAUUUUCUCUUGGAGGUGCACAGUUCCUUAAGGACUUUAGCAUAUCGAGGUAUUUGUUUUAUAGCAUCUAAUAAAUGAAUAUUUACCUCAACCUUGCGAAAUGUCUCAAGGAUGUCUUUCUCUUGUUCCUCCUUCUUGGAUUUUGCAAACCGGCUUGGAAAAGGAGGAGGUAUCACAAUAGGUAGGGGUUUAGCUCUGGUGGGUUCCGCAUCAUGAGAUUGAGGCAUCAAUUCAUUCUUCUCAAGUUCAUCUUCUACAUGCUUUGUCACUUUCUUACUAGGCUCUUGCAACUCCGUCCCACUUCUAAGGAUGACAGCACUAACGUUUUCCUUUGGAUUCACCUCAGAUUGUGAAGGCAAUCUCCCUAAUACUUGAGACUCCAGACGGCUCACUGUAGUCGCCAAUUGACUCAUUUGGUUCUCCAAGUUCUGAAUGCUUGCUGUAGUUGCCUGUUGAAAUUGUUGAGUGUUAGUUGCAAGUGAUUUAACAAUUUCUUCAAGAGAUAUACCUGACUUGGAGUUUGACUGUGGAGGUGCUGGUUGUCUUGGUGGAUACUGUUGUGGGAAUCCUGACGGCCUAACUCCAUAGCUGAAGUUAGGAUGAUCCUUCCAUCCCGGAUUGUAUGUUUGUGCAUAAGGAUCAUACCUCCUCUGAGGCAUGCUUGGAAAUCCUCCAACUGCAUUGGCUUGUUCAAUGGGUUCUUCUUGAAGUGUAGGACACAUAUCAGUUGAAUGACCCAUAUUGUAACAAAUGCCACAAGUCUUCACCUGUUGCACAUUGCCUACAACAAACUUUUCCACAAGAGAAGUAAGUUUAUCUAAACGUUGUUCAACAGAAGAAAUAUUUACCUCAUUCACCUUCCUUGAAGUAGGAUCUUGCCUGCUGCCAAAUUGUUGUGCGUUGGCAGCCAUAUUUGAUAUCAACUCCCUUGCUUGAGUAGGGGUCUUGUUCACUAACACGCCUCCACUAGCAGCAUCUAUCAUACUCCUAUCCAUCAAUGACAAUCCUUCGUAAAAAUACUGAAUAAGAAGUUGAUCAGAAAUCUGAUGCUGAGGACAGCUAGCACACAAUUGUUUGAAUCGCUCCCAAUACUCAUACAAAGUCUCCCCAGGAAGUUGUCUGAUCCCACAAAUGUCUUUUCGGAUGUUGGCAGCUCUUGAAGCAGGAAAGUAUUUCUCGAGGAACUGCUUCUUCAAACCAUUCCACGUUGUAAUCGAUCCAGGAGGCAAGUAAUACAACCAGUCUUUAGCUAGCCCAUCUACAGAGAACGGAAAAGCACGCAGCUUAAUCUGCUCUUCAGUCACGCCUUGUGGUCUCAUACUUGAACACACAACAUGAAACUCCUUAAGAUGUUUAUGAGGAUCUUCACCUGCAAAACCAUGAAACUUGGGUAAUAAAUGAAUAAGACCAGACUUUAAUUCAAAAUUUACCUCCAAGUCUGCAUAUUGAAUGCAGAGUGGUUGUUGAUUCAAGUCAGGUUCAGCUAACUCUCUAAGAGUUCUUUCUACAAGUGCAGCUCUAUCCAUCACUUGUUCUUCUGAAUCGCUAGAUGAUUCAACUAAAUCAGGCACCGUAUCUGUUUCAGAAAGCAAAGGCGACGAGGAUCGUUGCUUAGCUCGCUUUGUCUGCUGUCUCAGCUGGCGAGCUGUCUUCUCAAUUUCAGGAUCAAUCGAAAGUGUACCUGUACGAGAAGAACGAACCAUACACCAAGUAAAACGUAAAAAGGAUUAAAUAAAUGACACCAAUCCCCGGCAACGGCGCCAAAAUUUGAUGGGUGUCGAAGCCAACAAAAAUAAAUUCCUACUCUAAAUAAAUUGUGCAUAGUGAUUGAGCAGGGUCGUGUCCACAAAGAUCGGUAAUUAUUUAAAUCCUUUUGAAACGUAAAAUGGGGGAAUUGUUGACAAUAAUAAAAAUCAAAUUAAAUAACAAGAAUGCAAAUUAAAGUUGUAAUUCAAAUUGGAGAAAGCUCUGGUUGAAGGAAUUAACUAAGCUUGAUUCGACUACUGAUCAUUGAUUCAAAUAUAGAUUAUUAUUACUCAUGAAUAGACCGGUUAUAGCUAUUGAGACCCUCUAAUAGCCAAUCUCUCCUUAACUAGUCGAUAACCAAGGUACGACCGUUGGAUAUUUCCCUAAUCAAUAGACAACCCUAGAUACAAUCAUAGGAUUUAAUCAAUUGACAGCCUGAAAAAUCAGAGAGACCCAAAUCCUAAUUAACACAUAUGAUGAUUCAUUUAAAUUAGAUUGUUUAUUCUCACAACACAACUCUCUGCUAUGUUAUUUGUCACAAACAUCAAAUUCUUCAUACGAUGAAUCCUUUAAUUGACAAUAGAUUAAGUUGAUAAUUAAAUAGUGGCCAAUUACCUAAUUAACAAACAUAAUCAUGAAAAUAAUUCAGAGAAUAAACAAAUACCCAAAAAGUAAUAAAACAAUUAAAGCACAAGAAAGAUCUCACAGUAGUGAUGAAUCAAAGCUUCAUUAACCUUCAACCAGAAAAAUGGGUUUAGUUCCUCAUAGAGAGAAGAGAAAAAUUAGAUCUAGGGUUUCUUUUUCUCCAAUCCAAAUCCCCCUUUUUCACAAUAAAUUCUUCCCUUAAAUACUCUCUCUCUCUUCUCUUUUAGAAUUCUAUUUAAAAUAAAAUACUAAUAUCUGAAAUAUUAAAUUCGUAAUUACAAAAAUAACCAAAAAUACAAAACACGUUAAACUAAAAACUGCAGGUCCGCAGUUGACAGCACGCGCCCACGCCUUAUCAACAAAGUUCUUCUGACGCUCAUAAUUUCUCCAAGAGAACAAUCCUCCUUAAACAUCAUCUUUUAGCUCAAUUUUAUCACCAAUCAAUAGAAUUGCACCUACAAAAGUAAAACAUAAGUAAAACAUUAUUAUUAAAUGCAAAACAUCGAUAUUAAGGUAAGUAAAUAAUGCAAAACUAGUGCAUAAAUUGCACUCUAACACAUAGUUAGAUUUACUCUUAUCAACAAAGCCUUCAGGUUGCUGCAUAAACACUUCCUCUGAUAACUCACCAUUCAAGAAUGCAUUGUUGACAUCCACCUGUCUAACUAUCCACUGAUUCAUCACUGCAAGACUAAGAACUACUCUCACUGUUGCUGGCUUUAUCACUGGGCUAAAGGUAUCAAAGUAAUUCACACAUUCAAUCUGUUGAAACCCUUUUGCCACCAAUCGAGCCUUAUACUUAGCUACACUGCCAUCAGUGUUAUACUUUAUUCUAUACACCCACUUAUUCCCAACAACUUUCUAAUUUUCUGUUCUUGGUACUAGAGACCAAGUUCUGUUUUCAAUUAGUGCAUCAUACUCAUUUUUCAUAGCUGUAAACCAAUUUGUGUCUUGCAAAGCUUCACCAACUGAAUCUGGCUCUUUGUGAACGUACACUGCAGUAUACAUUUUUGGCUUAAAAAUACCUGCUUUUCCUCUUGUGGUCAUGGGGUGAUUGUUUUGAACAUGUUGAAUAUUGUUUGAGGUUAUUUGGGACUGAGAUGGUAAUGGAAUUUGAGUAGGAUCUGUAGUGUUUGGUGAGUCUAGAUCAUGAACAGGUUCAAGAGUAGGAUUGAGAUUUGGUGUUUGACAUUGUGUAGCUUCAUUUGCUUGUUGAUGAUCUGCUGAUGAGAACAGUUCUGUGCUGCUGGAACAUGCUGGAGAGUAGGAUUCAAAACUGCUGUUAUAAGGAUUUGACACAACAGGAAGAUUGGAUAAAUGGAAAACUUGAUGAGGGGACAAAGCAGAGCUGGAUAUUGAUUGUGUUUUGUUCUCAGAAUUGAAAGCAGGAUCUGAAGAAAAAGGAAAUGCAUUUUCAUCAAAUAUGACAUGCCUUGCUAUGUAUACACGACCAGAAUGAUGAAGGCAUUUAUAUUCUUUGUGAGCAGAGCUAUAACCAAUGAAUAUGCAUUUACUUGUGUGAAAAUCAAAUUUAUGCUUAUUGUAAUCUCUCAAAUAUGGAUAGCAAGCACAACCAAAACAUUUCAGCAUCUUAUAAUCAGCUUUAUGUUUGAAAAGUUUUUCAUAUGGUGUCAACAUUUUAAGAGCUGAAGUUGGUAACCUAUUGAUAUGAUAAACUGAAGCAUGGAAAGAAUCCCACCAAAAAUGCAAAGGAAGUUUGGCUUGAGCUAACAAUGUAAGACCCAAUUCUACCACUUGUCUAUGUUUUCUCUCAACUAAGCCAUUCUGAUGAUGAGUAUGAGGACAAGAGUGCCUAAAUAAAAUGCCACACUGAUUUAAAAAUUCAGUGAAUGAUCUGUAUUCUCCCCCCCAGUCAGAUUGCAGUAUCUUAAUGGUUGUUUGGAAUUGGUUUUCAACUUGUAACUUGUAUAGCUUAAAAACCUCUAAAGCUUCUGAUUUCAAUUUCAAUGGGUAGAUCCAAGUAUAUCUAGUGAAAUCAUCAACAAAACUAAUAUAAUAUCUAAAACCUUCUCUUGAAAUAACUGGUGAGGGACCCCAAAGAUCAGUGUGUAUGAGCUCAAGAGCUGAUUUGGUUUUGAUUUCUGUAAUUGGGAAAUGCAACUUGUGUAUCUUACCCAACUGACAUGCUUCACAGAAAUGUUGUGUUGCUUGCUUAACCAUAUUCAGAGAAAACUUAUUAGCAUGAUGGAGUUUAAGUAAAUGCAAUAAGCUUUGAGAAUUUGGGUGGCCAAAUCUUCUGUGUAGAAGAGCUAUUUUAUUAGGCUUAUCAGAACAUACAUCAAAACCAUUCUGUAAACAAUUGUUUGAAUUAUUUAUGUACUUUACAGAUGGCAUAUGAGAAGCAAGAUGACAGAAUGAUAACAUUGACAGAGGUUUAUUAGCUUGACUAUGAGACAUAGGAGAAUUCUUGGUAGAAGACAUAGGUUUGACUAGCAGUUUAUACAACCCUUUCUCAGCAAUGCCCUGCAUUAGAACUUGUCCCUUCAGCAAAUCCUUCACAACACAAAAUGAUCCAAGAAAUUCAACAGAAAUGUUAUUGUCAGUGGUAAGUUUUGAAAUGCUUAUUAAGUUCUUGGUGAUAGAGGGAACAAGCAAGAUAUCUUUAAGUGCAAUAUGUAAAUCUGCAGGUUGAGAUUUUGAAUUCUUGAAUGAAAAAUAAGAGUCACCAAUAUGAGUUAUUGACAAACCUUCACCAUUGCCAAUAAUGAGCUUCUCAUUACCUCUAAACUCAUCUCUGAUAUUCAGAUUUCCCAUGCUGUUUGUCAGAUGAUGAGUGGCACUACUGUCCAGGUACCAACCUUCAUCUGCAGGUCCUUCACAAUAUGCAGCAGAAGCAGUUCCAACCCAAGGCAUACCAGAAUUAUCAGAUGCACAAGGAUAUCCAGACUGUGACAUGUGUAAUCCAUUAUUGUUGACAGGCCAUGGAUCAUCAUUUAUUGGAUAGUAAAGUAUGUAUGCAGGUUCAUAGUUAGCUAUGUAGGCAAACUUUGAACCUUUUCCUCUCUGAAAUUGUCUUGGUGACUGAGGUAUGUAAUUUUCUUCAAAUCUAUGCCAGCAUUCAACAGUUGUAUGUCCUACUUUGAAGCAAAUCUGACAUGUAUUCAUAGAAUCAUCACUGUUGGAUACUUGUGACUCAAAAGGGGGUAAAUUUCCAGUACCAUUGAAACCAGUACUGCCAAAAGAGCCUCUUCCAGAAGAACCAAAUCUAUUGCUUCCCAUCAUCAUUUGAUUUCUUCCUUGAUUACCAAAAUGACCAGUUCCAGCAGGAAAACCCCUUGGAUGAGAAUUCAAAAACAUUCCUCUACUAUUAAACAUACAAUUUCUACCACCUGAGUGACCAUUAUAAUUACCCUGGACACCUCCUGUAUAUCCUCCUCUCCUAGUAUGACCUCUUAUUUGAGCAUAGUAUGCAUUCAUCAUACUAUUAUUAUUCCAGUUAGACAUAUUAGCAUAGUUUGCAUUAAUCAUGUGCUUUUCACUUUGAUUUUGUUCAAGCCUAGCCUCAUGAGUAAGUAAUAGGGCAUAAGCAUCAUCAUAAUCCAAUUUUCUUGUUGUGAUAAAGGUAGCUAAAUCCAAAUAGCCAGCUCCUAGACCAUUGAGGAUUUGCUGCAACAUAUCUCUAUCUGAUACAGGACUACCAGCACAUGCUAAUUUGUCUGUAAUUUGUUUCAUUUUUAAGCAAUAUUCUUCAAUACUUAGUGAAUCUUUUCUUAAGACACUCAUCUCAUACUUAAGUUGAAGAACUCUAGCCUCAGAUUGUACACCAAACCUUUUCUCUAGUGUUUUCCAUAUAUCGAAUGAAGUAGUGCAUGAGUGAACUAAACUGAAAAUACCUUCAGUUAUUGAGCUAAGAAGCCAGCUGAGUAAUGUUUGAUCUUGAGAUCUCCAGAUUGUGUAUUCAGGAUUCUCGAUAUGUUGAGAAGAGCUAGCAACUGAAGAUGCUAUGAAUUGGUUUGGUGCAAUCUUUUCUCCAUUAAUGUAUCCUUCAAGUCGAUUUCCUCUAAUGGAGGCCAGGACUUGAUUUUUCUAGAGCAUGUAAUUAGAUCUAUCCAAUUUGAUUGGUGUGAUGAAAGAAAAAGUUGUCUGAUUCGUAGCUACUGUAUUUUGAUUGUUUGUAAUAGCCAUGAUUGGCUCUGAUACCAUGAAGAAAAUUGUAAAACUGAAUAAAUGCUGCUGUUUGGCAGCUGAGAAAAUGCAGAGGAAAAUUCUUUAUUUCAGCAAUGAAUUGAUAUUUUGUACAUACAAACAAUCACGAAACGUGCAGCUAUUUAUACAUGCUACACUUGCUAACUAAUUGCUUACUAACUAAUUAUUAAUAACAAGCUCACUCAGCUAAUCAAAUAACAGAAUACAGAGUAUGCAUUGUGAUGUUAGUUAGGCUGGUAACUGCUGCUGACGUGGACCUUCUGACGUGGCACAAAUGACAGCUGGUAACUUGAUACGCUGACUCUUCUUCCUCACUUCUGCACAAUGAGCUAUCUUCACACAUGAAAAUUUUGAAUUAAUUUCUUGAAAUAGGAUCCUACAAAUGAAGUGUUUUAAUUUCGUAAUUUAUUAUUAUUAUUGUUAUUUUGUUUUUAAAUAUUAAAAAAAUUGAGUUUAUAAUACCUUAAGCAAAUCCCACAUUGACAAAGUACGAGAGAGAUGCUGAGUUUAUAAGGAGUAAUCUACACCUUAAGACGUAUUUUGGGGUGUAUGGGCGCCCUAGAACAAACUCAUGCGGGCCUUGUUAAGAGCCAAAGCGUAUGUAACAUCCUAGACAAAUCCCUCAUCGGCAAAUCACGAGAGAAAUAUUGGGUUUAUAAGAGGUGAUCCACACCUUAAGACGCGUUUUAGGAUAUAUAAGUGCCUUAAAAAUAAAUAUGUGCGGACCUUCUUAAGGACUAAAACGGAUAAUAUAUUAUCACACCUUAAGACGCAUUUUAAGAUAUAUAAGUGCCCCAAAAAUAAAUAUGUGCGGACCUUAUUAAGGACUAAAACGGAUAAUAUAUUAUCAAAUCUAAGUUAGAUCAUGACGGAAUUCGUUUUAGUUUCUAACGGACAUCCGAUUCAUCGUAAUACAAGUGCCCUUGUCCAUGUAUUAAUUGCAUUUGCCUAUGAAUUCUUCAAUAAUUGAAAAAGAUGGGUGCUUGUGGGACACUCUCCAUUUAUGAUUACAAUUUAGGAAUAAGAACUUAAUGACGCAACCAUCACUGACAGCCUCUUUUUUGGAGGUACUCGGAUGGCUAUUAUUGCCAUUUAAAAGAUAACAUAAAUUUUGUAGAUUGCCAGCUAUGGCCGAGCUUUUUUUUUUUUUGAAGAAAAAUAGCCAUUUAAAAGAUAACAUAAAUUUUGUAGAUAGCUAGUUAUGUUCGAGUUUUCAAUUAUUUUUGAAAAAAAAAUACUUAUGUCUUUUAGAUUUAGAAAAAUGAUCACAUAAAUUCUCAAAAUUUUAAUAAGAUAAAUCCAGACCUUUUUUAUUAUAAUAUUUUUUAAUUCUAUAACUAAAACAAAUUGAUUAUAAUAUUUUAUAAUAAAAAAAUAUAAGUGUAAUGACCCGCUCCGAAUCCUUAGGACGAGUUUAUCUAAUCUCACCAACCGAAUUAAUAAUAAUCUAAUAUCUAAAUUAUUUGGCAGUCUCCUAUAUAAUUAUGAUAUUCUCAAACCCGUAAUUUUUAAAAUUUAACACUCCCCAAAAAUGAUACAAUAUUCAAUCAACCUCCACAAUUAACUUUUUCAAUCAAAUACCAGUAUCCUUUAAAUAUAUAAUAUUAAGAAUACAAUAAUUUAUCUUUAAUUAUAAAUAAAUAAUAAAUUAUACAAUUCAAAAUAUCCCAACAAAACAUCUAUGAUUCCUAAUAUUAUACCAUAAUUCUAAAUUUAACUAUUGUUUCUGUGUCGAUUGAUGUAUCUCCAAAUCUAAUGUGGGGGAGGGGGUAAUAUAAAAAAAAAAAAGGAAUGAGUAUAAAACUCACUCAAUUAAAAACUCUAUAACAUAAUACUGUUUUUAGUUUUAAUAAUAUACAAAUUCAAUUAAAAACUAAAAUAAAGCAUUUAAAAGGGAAAAAAAGAACGUUUUUGAAAUUAAAUACAAAUAUUCCAAUUGUUACUGUGAAAAUGUGAUAUUUUCAGCACUAGAGCCACCACUUUAUUGCUUAUCGGAUACGAAAGGAACUGAUGUGGUCCAAUUGUGUUCCGAUCGGAUUGGUUGCCGUCAUAAUCUGAUCACAUUUAGAUAACUUUUCAGUUUUGUCCAGGAGAAAGGCUGUCCAUUAUGUCUCCCUAAGAAAGACGUCACAUAGAUGAUGUAAUCAGAUUUUAUCAUGCGUUUGUUCCUCUUCAAUCGAGAACUUGUCACAUCCUGCCUGUAAUUUUUUUUUUUUUAAUAAGCUGUAAUAUGUAUUUGAGUGUCUGUGAAUCUAAAAUUUUUUUUAGGUUAGUGUUACGUUACGUUUAACUUAACGGGAUACUUUUUUUUAAAGACUUGUUAAAAUUAAUCACAUAAUUAAAGUUAUAAUAAUUUUUUUUAUCUAUUGUAUACGGUUGAGAUUUGUGCUCCCGUAAAUCAACUUCUAUGUAGUUAUUGUCUUAUUUUUAAGGGAAUAAUAUAAAUAGAAACUAAUACAAAGCUACAGUUACUAUUUGAACAAAAUUAACAUGAAUUAAAAAAAAGGGCAGCUGCAACUAAUAUCAUUAAAUCAAAGGAUUGAAGUACUAACUAGAGAUUUUAAACAAAACUGUUUGGCUUAAAAUUAUGGGAAUUUGAGAUUACACUUACAGUUUUCAUUUUUAUUCUAUUUUUAUUUUUUUGAAGAGAAGAAAGAAAAAAGAUCAGCUAUAUGAUUAAUGAAAGAGCACAUGGUUAUGCAUGGAAGGCGGGAGGUGGGGGGGGGGGGGGGUGAUGAGUAAUUGGAGUGAGUUAUGUAACGGACCACCGGAGCAUUGAUCGGCGUGUAUUGUAUUAAACUGCGAACGGGUAUGAAACAAUCUUAGAGUGCAAAUAAGAGAAUAGAAAUUGUCAUAGUACAUGAACAUUUGUUGGUUCGAAGGAGCAACAAUUAGGAAUGGCUAUUUAUUUAAAAUAUGAAGUGGAAAAUUGAAUUAAUUUAUUUGAAAUAGAAAUUGUCACAAGAAAAUUUUGAAUUAAUUUCUUGAAAUAGGAUUCUACAAAUGAAGUGUUUUAAUUUUGUAAUUUAUUAUUAUUAUUGUUAUUUUGUUUUUAAAUAUUAAAAAAUAUUGAUUUUGUAACACCUUAGCCAAAUCCCACAUCGACAAAGUACGAGAGAAAUUCUGAGUUUAUAAGGAGUGAUCUACACCUUAAAACGUAUUUUGGAGUGUAUGGUCGUCCCGGAAACAAACUCAUGCGGGCUUUAUUAAGAGCCAAAGCGGGCAAUAUCUUGUAAGGUCUAGGUUGAAUUAUGACAUUAUGGUAUCAGAGUGGCUCUGCGUGUCCUCAUGAGUGAUGGUGGGGCAAACUUCAACGAGGACGCUGAGUCCCUAGGGAGAGUGUAUGUAACACCCUAGGCAAAUUCCUUAUCGACAAAACACGAGAGAGAUACUUGGUUUAUAAGAGAUGAUCCACACCUUAAAAUACGUUUUAUGGUGAAUGGGCGCCCCAUAAAUAAAUUUAUGCGGGUCUUAUUAAGGAUUAAAGCGGACAAUAUCCUAUUAAGUUUAGGUUAGAUCAUGACAGAAUUCCUUUUAGUUUCGAGCGGACAUCCGAUUCAUCAUAAUAAUCGUACCCUUGUCCAUGAAUUAUAAAUAGUCUAUAAUAAAAAAGAAGUGAGUAUAGUAGUUUUUGAAAAAAAUAAAUUUACUUAAAAUAAUCUAAUUUUUCCCAUAUUAAUUUCAUCAAAAUAUCAUAAGGACUUCUAGUAACUUUUCAGUUUUGUCCAGGAGAAAGGCUGUCAAUUAUGUCUCCGUAAGAAAGACGUCACAUAGAUGAUGUAAUCAGAUUUUAUAAUGCGUUUGUUCCCCUUCAAACGUCACAUAGAUGAUGUAAUCAGAUUUUAUAAGCCUCUUGUUCCUCUUCAAUCGAGUACUUGUCACAUCCUGAGUGUUUGUGAAUCUACAUUAUUUUUUAAAGAUCUGUUUAUGUUAGAAUCGCUCUAAGAUAGAAUACUCCUUCGUAAUUACAUUAUUAAAAAAUAUAGAUUAAUUUCAGAUUUAAAACAAAUGAAGCCUUUGUUUUUAUUUGCAAGACUUUUAUAAUACAUUAAUAUGUAACGCUUCAAAUUUCACGGCGGAUUAGAUACAAAUUUUUUAUCCUUAUACUAAACAUGUGUAGAGUAGUAAGAAACAAGUUAAAAAAUAAUAAAAACACACACUUUGAUGUUGUUAUUUUUAUCUUAAAGUAUUAAAAUUUAUAUUUCUUUUAAUCUUUUAACUUGUCUUUUACGAUAUUAAAAUAAGAAAAUCCUUACUAAAAGUAAAAGGGGACUUGCAUGUCAUGUGCACAGUGUACAAUAUGUUUCAAAUGUUACUUGAUAGAAAUUACUGAAAGCAUUGUAUCAUUGGAAAACUCUUGCUGCAUGCUACUAAUUUGACAGUUUAUCAAAUAUUUUUUUGCUGCUCGCUACUUAUGAAUCACGUUUAGUCCCCUUUGAAUUGUGUGCAUCCACCAUCUGUUAAAUUUAUCUUUGAAUUUUCUCGCUUCCAUAAGGGACACAAAUAAGAAACAGACAAGGACGUUCAAAUCCCCGAGUUGUAAAAUUUACAAGAUGCAUCGGGUAGAAAAAUCUUGUAGAAACCUCAGCUGAUGAACUCUGUAAAGAAUAUCCUCAUUCAUUCAGCUAACCCGUUGAACCAAAAUGCAAAAUCAUCCUCAAUAAGUACAAGAAACAAAAACUUUACAAGAAUAACUUAUGAAACUUGAUAAAUUUCUGCGGAGACUACAACGUCAUUUCAAUUUGUGAGGUAAUUAUUUGAUGCCAUGAUGCUGACUGAAUCUCAUUAAAUUAAUGAAAAUAAUACAACAAAUGGUACGAUAACUCCAAAUCAGCUAUCACAUUAUGUUUUUUUUUUUUAUAAGUAUCACAUUAUGUAUUUGAUUCAAAUAAGAGAACAAAAUUUGCAUUAUUGAUAGAUAUUAUAUUGUUUCUUGAAACUAUCCCUUGACAAAUCGCCCAUUAAUGCAGUCAUUGCUGACAAAACAACUUUGUGAAAAAGUUCACCAAGAUAGCAAGCUGAUAGAGAAAUCUGACAAUGCAAUGCAUGCCAUCCUCACACUUCAAUUUCAUCGAAAAUGGAUAAGCCAUUUUGUUCAACUUUCACCUCCGGAAGUUGAAAAGGACAUGAAUGCAAUUAUGCAAGUCCUUAUCAAAGAUGCAAUGAAUGACGCCUAAACUCCUAUAGAGUAGAGUUAAGCUAUUAAUCACUGCACCGAUACAUCAAAAAUUAAGUAUAUGGAUCAAAGACAUCUUCAUUCAAGAGUCGAGAAAUUUCAAAGCAAAGGGACCAAAGAUGGUGGUGCCAUUUUGUUCAACUUUCACCUCCGGAAGUUGAAAAGGACAUGAAUGCAAUUAUGCAAGUCCGUAUCAAAGAUGCAAUGAAUAACGCCUAAACUCCUAUAGAGUAGAGUUAAGCUACUCAUGUCUAAUUUUAGAGGUUUGAUAUGGAUAUGGAUUUUUGUUUAUAUUGAUAUUGAUACGCAUAGAUAUUCGGGAAAAAAAAUUCUACUUAACACUAUAACGAAUAGGAUACUUCUUUUAUUAGAGCGUUGUCAUGCUGACGAUAUGCAAGAUAUCAUAAAUAAAGGGGAUCGUAGGGAACGAAAUGAAAUAAGUUUAAAGAAUUUGAAAGAAACUGAUUAUUCUCUUAUUCAACAACUCGGUGUGCAAUUACAUUUUACACGAGGUCCAUGUAAUUAUAUUUGUCAUUAAGAAUGAGCGUUUGCCAAAAGAAGAGACACAUGUCAUGACAAUGAGUGAUUGACAAGUGACAAAAUUGAUAGACACCGGCCGAAUAUGUCAUAACACAAACUUCUGAAAUUGCUACAGGAAAUGAAAUAUAAUGAUGCACGAUGCCCAUCCAAGUUGUUUACUUGUAUUGUCCAACUGUAAAUGAGUACAGACAUGCUACCAUCAAUCGUUGUUAUUAGACUAGUCACCCACCACCUCGCAAAUCGCAGAUAGCAUUAGCAAGUCCUCAGUAAUUCUUACUGCCUGAAACAACAUGGCUGGAGCAGAGAUUUUUCUAUCAAAGCGUGUCCAGGACAUGGUCCUCAAUGGUGAAGAACCGCCAGCACCAAAUAUUUGUAGAGAUGGUGAUUCAAUUCAAGAGGUUUCUGCUCAUUAUCUCCGGUUCCGAUCAUUGACCUCAGUCUGCUCUCAUCUUCAACACCAUACGCCAAGCAAGAAGAAGAACUGCAGAAAUUAAGAUCAUUGACCUCAAUCUCAUCUUUAACACCAUACUCCGGUUCCGAUCAUUGAUCAUUGACCUCAGUCACUCCUUCAUGACCACAUAAUAAGGAGUGGCUAUUUAUUUAAAAUAUGAAGUGGAAAAUUGAAUUAAUUUAUUUGAAAUAGAAAUGGUCACAUGAAAAAUUUGAAUUAAUUUCUUGAAACAGGAUCCUACAAAUGAAGUGUUUUAAUUUCGUAAUUUAUUAUUAUUAUUGUUAUUUUGUUUGUAAAUAUUAAAAGAAAAAAAGAAAAAAUUGGGUUGUCUUUAGUUUCUAGCGGACAUCAGAUUCAUCAUAAUAAGCGUACCCUUGUCCAUGUAUAAAUUGCAUUUGCCUCUGAAUUCUUCAAUAAUUGAAAAAGAUGGGUGCUCGUGGGACACUCUCAUUUAAAAGAUAACAUAAAUUUUGUAGAUUGCCAGCUAUGGCCGAGCUUUUAAAUUUUAAAUUUUUUUUUUUAGAGAAGAAGAAAAAUAGCCAUUCAAAAGAUAACAUAAAUUUUCUAGAUAGCUAGUUAUGUUUGAGUUUUCAAUUUUUUUUUAGAAAAAAGAUACUUAUGUCUUUGAAAUUUAGAAAAACAAUCACACAAAUUCUCAAAUUUUUAAUAAGAUAAAUCAAGACCUCGUUUUAUUAUAAUAUCUUUUAAUUCUAUAACUAAAAAAAUUGACUAUAAUAUUUUAUAAUAAAAAAAUAACUGAAAUGACCCGCCCCGAAUCCCCGGACGAGUCUAUCUAAUAUCGCCAAUCGAAUUAAUAAUAAUCUAAUAUUUAGAAUUUUACCAAAAAUUCGGCGAGUCUCCUAUAUAAUUAUAACAUUCCCAAACCUGCAAUUUAUAAAAUUUAACACUCCUAAAAAAUGAUACAAUAUUCAAUCAACCUCCACAACCAACUUCUUCAAUCAAAUACCAAUAUCCUUCAAACAUAUAAUGUCAAGAAUACAAUAAUUUAUCUUUAAUCACAAAUAAGUAAUAAAUUAUACAAUUCAAAAUAUCCCAACAAAACAUCUAUGAUUCCUAACAUCAUCACAUGACCAUAAUUCUAAAUUUAACUAUUGUUGUUGGGUCGACUAAUGUACCUACAUAUCUCUUGUGGAGGGGGGGUAUAUAAUAAAAAAAAGAUGAGUAUAAAAUUCAGUGAGCUGAGUUGAGUAUAGUAUGAAAAAAAUAAAUUACUUAAAAUAAUAUAAUCUUUCCCAAAUCAAUAUCAUCAAAAUAUCAUAAGAACUUAAAUAAACUUAUUUAAUUUAAAUCAUGUUUUGAUAUAACAAUAAUACAUAAUACGGCAUGAAAUCAAGGAAAACAUGAUACUUAUAAUAGCAAACACCAAAUACCGAAUCUAUCACCAAACAAGUACCCAGGAAAAUAUCUCAUCAUAUCCAGACCUCGACGGAUCUGCAAUCAGGGAACCAUCAUGGCCCGAAGCUACACGGAUAGACAAGGAAGUACUAUCUCAUAUCUCAUCAUAUUUGUGCAUGCAUAAUCUAGUCCCCAAAGGACAAGGCGCCCAAGAACACGGUCCAAAGCUUCUGUGUGUACUCAAAGGGGCCCCAAAGACCUAUAUUUCAUCCGUAUCAUCAUAUAUCAUAUGUAUCAUCUGUAUCUCAAUAUAUGUAUCUCUGUAAUCAUCAUACACAUAUGCCCUUAAAAGGCAAAAACACCCAAACACACGGCCCAAAACCUUUAUAUGUGUUCAAGCGGGCCCCAAAGGCCUCUCAUCUCAUAUGUAUCACUGUAUCUAGAGGGAAAGGGUAUUGUCUAAUGAUUUUAAAAACAACAUCUUAUACACAUAUAAAUAAACAUAAAAUGACACUUAAAUCUCAUUUCUUUUUCAUGUAACAUACUUUAAAUCUACUUUAUUCUCUUUAAAACCAUUACCAUGCAUUUACUCAAAAAUGAUAAUAAAAUCAUUAAUCAAACUCAUUUUUUAUAAUAAUAAAUAUCAGCAUGUAGACAAAAAUCCAUUUUCUAGAAAGUUAUUAAAUUCGAGUAUUAAAUACUUAUUUAUCAAACAUGUUGUACUGUAUCGUAAAAUCAUAAUAUAUUAUGAAAAUAUGUUUUGUAUAUUCCACUCACAGUGACGAUGUUCGAGCUCGGUAUCGUCAACGUCUGUGGGUUGAUUCUCAUUCAUGGAUCCUCCUAAUAUAAGGAAAUAACAUAAUCCCUCCUAAUAUAAGGAAAUAACAUAAUCAUUCUCCAUAAAUAUGAAAUACAACUAAUUUUAUGCAAUAAAUCUCGAAACGAAUAUAUAUCCGUAAUAAACUAUUCCCGUAUGCAUCAAAUUACCAAAAUACCCCCUGCAUGCUAAAAUUACCAAAAUCCUCCCGAUAUCAAUAUUUACCAAAUUAUCCUCAUAAUCCUAAAUUACCAAGCUGACGUCAAUUCAGAUCACAAUGUUAGAAAUUACGAAAUUACCCUUAGAGUAUAAAAUUACCAAAAUGCCCUUAAUAACAUAAAUGACUGAAUUACCCUCGAAAUCUCAAAUUACCUAACUGCCCUAGUCCAAAAUUACUAAAAUAUCCACCAAUUUUACUCUUUUGAAUAACUAGAGAGUUUCCAUUAUCAGCAUAUGUAACUUCUCCAUCUUCAACAUCCUUUUCGACACUAGGAUUCUCAUGAUCUUCCGCAUUCUCGUCAUCGCUUUCCUCUUCAACAAGGGCAACCACCCUACGAUUAGGACACUCAGAAGCAAUGUGCCCAUAACCAAGCCAUUUAAAACAUUGACGAGAACUAGCAUUCGAACCACUUGCUCGCUGUUUAGAUCCUUCCCCGAUAUCAUUCCUAGUAAUUUUCUUUGCAGUCGAAUUUGAACCAGAAUUAUGCUUAGAAACGGAGUCACUCCCUCGAUUGACAUCACAAACUGUGAACCAAAUACCCCCACCACGAGCAUCCUUUUGUUGCUUUUCCACCUUAAGAGCAAGCCUGCAUACAUCACUAUAAGUCCAAUAUGGUUGGAGCUGGACCACAUUACCAAUCUCAGGUUUUAAACCACCCAGAUAGCGUGCGAUCGUAUGCUCUUCCGCCUCUACCAAAUCACACUUCAUCAUUAGGUUGUCGAACUCUGCUGUAUAGUCUUCCACUGACAAUUCCUUUUGCUUGAAGUUGUGGAACUUAAGGUAGAUAUCUUGCCUGUAGUUAUCGGGCAAAAACUUUCUCUUAAGCUCUUUUUUCAUUUUCUCCCAAGUAACAAUUUUCCUCCGUCCCUCUCGUUCCCUUUGCCUCUUAAGAUUUUCCCACCAUAAAGAAGCAUACUUUUUAAGUUUAAUGGCAAUGAGUUUCACUUUGCGAUCUUCAGGCACAUCUCUGUAUUCAAAAAUGCGUUCAACAGUAUCAAGCCAAUCAACAAACUCUUCUGGUUGCAUUCUUCCUUCAAAUUCAGGAAUUUCGACCUUGAAGUCGAAAGGCUGAUAAAAAUCGCGACGCCUAUGAAUUCGAGAACGAGAAGAGAAUUCACUAUUGGAGCUUUGUUCUUGAUGGAAGGGAUUAUAAUCUACCCCGUCAUUGAUUGAGCCUUCUUCUUCCGAACUACCAUUAGGAGCAGCUUCUCGAGUUCCUUCAAGGUGUUGUAAUCGUUGCUGAAGCUAUUCUACUUGUCUUCUAAGAUCAUCCCUUUCUAUAUCACCCAAGUCCCUCUCACGAACAGGAGGCUCUUCAACUCUUGCAUUACGCCGACGUCGUUGGGCCAUAAAUUUUCAGAACCCAAUGCUCUGAUACCAAAUUUGACACCGGACACAAUAGAUGAGAAAACACAAUGUCACACACCCAAGAAAUCACAAGCUCACCACCACAGCAAACAACAAAAGGAUACAGAAAAAUUCACCACCUAAAGUUGUUAAGCUAAGGAUACAGGGCUUGAAAAUACUCACCACUCAAUGGAAUCCACCAAAGAGAUACAGAGUUUGAUAAUAACUCAAAGUUCAUCUAAUUCCCAAAAUUAAUCUCCGUCCUUUGGUUACAACUACAUAAGCUUAAAUAGCUUUCUUGGAACAAUCCUCCAAGCAUAGAUUUACUACAAAGAAACCCUUCAAAUAAAUUGACUUUAAAGACCAACAUUAAAGCUAGACAUUAAUAAAACAUUGGUAUGCUUAAAACAUAACAAAGAACAUUAAAAAAAAAAAAUCCAAGUCCCGAAAUAUUCUUCUUGACUCAAAACUGAACAGUCUUCACUUAACUGAUCAUAACUUACUGUAUAAAACUCCAAAUUUAGAUUAGUAAAAUUCAUUGGAAAGCUAACAGAAAUAUCUUUCCAAUGAUGUAUGGCUCGAAAAUUAAUUCGAUCUCAUGCAGUACAGUUUAAUUCCCAAAGAUGCCCCUUCUGCACAGAAAUUCUGCUUACUUGAUUAAUGUAAGAACUUGAGCUGCACUUGGUAUAACUUGAUUACCAAAUAUUUCAAACACUCCUGUGUUAUAUAAUGAUGCUCUUGAGUCUGGUAUUGUGGAGGUGACGAAUUUUCCAAAGAAAUUGUUACAUUGUUUACAAUGGGGCUUGCAAAAUCUCAGGUUUGAGCAUAAUCCAAACUUUCUCUUUGUGAUGUUAUGGUUGAAAAGAAAAAAGAAUGAAACAAUAUUGGUUGAAAAAAAUAAAAUACUUUGGUCACUCUUAGACACUAUUUUACCACUAAGGUCCCUGGUAAAAUUUUAAUAUCUUAUUUCAUACUAGUAUUGGUAUAAAAGUAUAGAAAAAAACACAUUGUUGAAAGUUAAACGUCACAUUUUAACAAAUAGAUUAAAUAACUUUAAUUUGCAUUGAUCUAAAAUAAUCAUGUUUUAUGUGAAAAUGUACAUGGAAUAUUUAUUCUGGUAUUGUUUUCAGGGAGCAAAGUAUUACAUAUUCCCCUUUCGAGAAAACUGCCGAUUCUUUCGCAUAGGAGAGUGACUUUAUUCUUUUGUGUAUAUCAUUUCAAAUAAUGCAUAUAGAUUGAACCCUUUGCAGUGCUUUUGGUCAGAACCUCCAAACAAGCACCGAUAUCUGGGAAAACGUUUUUGCAAUUUGCAUGACGAACCUUGGUGUGGUGCUGUUUGUCUUUUUAAUUGGGAAGAUGCAGGUUCGUAUACAUUUUCUAUUUCUUAUAUCUGAAUUAACCUCAAUUCCAAAUGUUAUAAUUAAUAUUGAAGUACAUUUGAAAUUAAUGGAUUGUAACUGCAGUCGGACACAGCAAGAUCACAUAAGAUAAAAAAGAAGUGGAAGGAGAUAAAGCAGUGGCCGAAUUUUGGGGAAAUUUUUUCUGAUGUAAAAGAGCAGAUGAGGACAUACAAGCGAGAGAAAUGGGAAGAAACCAAGCGUGUUGAUGUUGAUAAUUUGGUGAAUGAUCUUCCCCACGAACUUGGCAUCAAAAUAAAGCGCAGACUCUGCAUUAAACUAAUCAAGAAUGUGAGUUCCUAUUACUACUUGUUUAUCCAGUAAUAAGUCACUUCUUUUUGUUAAACAAAAAAAAAAAAGGUUAGGCAAAGUACAAAGAGAACUGCUGAAAUUACCACUCAGCCAAAGCUCUAGGAGCAACAAUUACAACGAGUUCAUUGCCACAAAAUUGCCACUCCUUGUUUAUUACAAGAAAUUGAAACAACAUUUGUUAUAUUCCGGUACCCUUAUUAAUCGUUUGAAUGCAUCUAGUGUAAUUCUCAUUUUUUGGUCUGUACCUAUCUAUGUAUACAGGUAAAAGAGUUCGAAAAUUGGAGCGAAAAAUCAAUGGGGUAUCUGUGUGAAUUUCUGAAGCCAGUCCUUUUUAUUGAGCGUACACGCAUUAUUCGGGAGGGAGACCCAAUUGAUGAGAUGCUAUUUGUGCUGAAAGGCAAUCUCUGGACUUACACUUCCAGGAAUGUAGCAACAACUAGCAGCAAUAGUAGUCGUUGUAGAGAGAAUCGUUUGAAAGAUGGUGACUUUUUUGGAGAAGAACUUAUUGCUUGGGCUCAGAAUGAGCACCCUUCCAAUUUGCCUAUCUCAGCCAGAACUAUUCAAGCGCUUAGCGAGGUUGAAGCCUUUGUUCUUAUGGCAGAUGACUUGAAACAUGUAUUAUCACUCAGACAUUGUGACCGGGCAGCUCUUUUGUUACAAUCACGCUGGCGUUUCAGAAAGCUUUUGCGUGAUAGGAGGGCUAAGCAAAAAUCAAUCUUGAGAAAAGUGCGGAAUUGGGCAGUAGAACUACUGACUGUAGAAUAACAAUUUGAGACUGGAUUUGAAAUUAUUAUUUGUAUGAAUACUACAAAAAUGAAAAUAGGUGGUAAAAGCUGAAAAAUUAAGGGGAAAAUUGUCAAUCUCCCCGGUUUGAUUAUGCAGUCAACAAGAUCAGAGACAUUAAUCGCCAAGUUCGAUUUGGAAAUUUUAUCCAACCAAUGGUACCUUUUUUUUUUUUUUCCCUGAAUCAAGGACUUCACGCUUCGUUGAUGAGGAUACCAUUCCUAAAAUUAAAAGAUAUUGAUCACUACUAUCUCAAACAACAAUUAAUUAUACAUUGGCAGCACGCAAAAAUGAGCGACAAACUUCUUCAUUAACUAAUCUAUAUGAACAACUGCAUUUCUAAGCAUAUAUAUGAUCAUUGCAGAUGAAAAUAGUUUAAAGUGGCGAUAGAAGAACCGAUAGAUCACAGUUGAGAGAGUGAAGCAGAUCAUCAGGGGGCAAUCCUAAGUGUGUCACGUGGGUAGAGUGAUGUUUUGCGAAUGUUGUUGAGAUCGCAGAAAAUCAUCACCACACUCUCCAAUCCCACUUCAAAUCCACUAUGUCUCGAAAGGAAUCCAAUGAUAACAUAAUGCUAACAGUUUUUAGAGGACCAAACUAUUUUUCUAUUUGCGUACAAAUGGACAGCGGUUUCAGAAUAACCUUAGGAUUGCCAAGUUUAACCAGAGAGCAUGGAAAAACCUAAGCCAGAUCAAAAUUCAAUACCACUAUGGAGGAUGUGCAUGGAUUAAUGUUAAAUACUAUAUUCAAUUUGAACGAUAAACACAGUAAAAAUAAAAAUUAUUAGAUUCCAUCUUCUAUCCUAUAAUUUUUAAUUCUUGUACUUCUUUUUCUGGGAAUCAGAUUUUUCUUAUACAGAACGUGAACCAACAAAAGACAAAUUUUGUGGUAUUUGAUAAAAGCAACUUCCAAAAUAUACCAUAACCACACCCAAUUAUUUUUUGUAUAAUAUCUAAGCUUUUAUAGACAUAGAUCGAGCCGUUAUGCUCUCAGCAUAAUAGGCUUGCGGCACUUGAUCAAAUGAGAAAAAUCCGGGUAACAAUACCUGAAAGAUUCAAAGAUAUUUUCUUUACAUCAAUGCCACCUGCCUGUGCACGCUCCACCAAGAACCCUGGCAUAUCAAUACGUUGAGCACCUGAAAUUAUCUCUUCACCUAAAGAGGAGGAACAGAUGCUCAAAAAUCCGGUCAAAUGAACAAUCACAUGAUAUUUUCAUCCAACAAGUAUGAAGGGUUGCAAUGAAAAGAAAAAUGAAACCCGACAGAAAAUUCUUCAACACAAGGAUUUUAAAUGUGGUUAUCAUUAUUAUUAAGCAGUCAACCUAAUACAACCUUCAACCAGAGGUGAAUUCAUUUAUGCCAGUCACAUGACCACUCCUAUCAACACCACUGAAAAAAAAGCGCAUCCUCUUUAUUUAUAAAUGAAGUUUUGUUCCUGCUUUAUUUCACCAUUCAUUUUCAUCUCAUACAAGACCAAUUUAUUGGAAUACAACAUACCUCGAUUAAACUGAAAGAGGAUUAAGAAAAUUUAAAAAAUGAAAACUUCGAGACAAUACGAGUAGUAUCAUGAUAAACUUAACUCUAGAUGGACAGCCAUUUUUUAAUCGUAAGUAAUGAAACAAAUGUAGAUCGAGAUUUCCGGAAAACAACACCACAAAUACAAGUAUAUGUGCAUCCAAAAUGAAGAAGAAAUGUUUCAGCCUCACACAUUACCUCGAAUAAAGACAUCAAAUUAGUUUCUGUGAAGAGCAUUGUCAGAAGGGGGCGCCUAACAGCCCAAGGAUAACGAUGGAGUAUAUAAAAUUCGGCAUUGAUGAUAUACAUAGAAAUUUAAGCUUAAAAAUGAGAAAACACUUAUCAUGAGCUAAGAGCAAUGAGGCUCUUAAUUUUUUCAAAAUUUGAAACUAAUAAUAGAUGUAUGUUAUACAAACAAAUUCAGACUUCAAUAUUUGUAAGAAAAAUCAAGUCAGUAAAUAUGCAACCUACUUAUCUCUGUUCCAUAGGUUGGUUGUCUUUUUUUUUUUUUUUUUAAUGUUCAGAAUCGAUUAAAAAUUAUUUUAAUUCGAGUUCUUUCUAAUUUGAUUUUUUGAUUCCAUUGUGAAAUUCAAUUUUCUUAUUUAAUUUUAUUCCGAUCCUAUCUACCCAUUCGAAUUUUGGUUGCUUAAUUGUUCAGAAUGUUGGAGUUGAGAUUGAUCCUCUUGAAGACUUUAAUACUGAGGCAGAGAGGAAGUUGAUCCAACUAUUUUCCUACGAUUCUUGGGAACAGGAGAUACUACUUUUAAAGCAUCCAAUCUACUAAAUGAUUCCAGGCUUCCAGCACGCUAGUGUUAUCCUUAAAAAUCAUCUAAUUAUUUAUUCAUACACUAAUCUAAAUAAUGGCGUGAUAAAUCAGAAACCUUUCUUCAUGAAACAUGAACUGAGGGGAUGAAAGAAAUUAAGUUAUCUUGAGCAUUUGAAUCCCUUUUUCAAAUCUAAGACGAAGAGUCAACAUUUAGAAAAUGACACAAUCAGGUUCAAGAAUAGAGAAAAGCUGAGGUGAUAUAUAAUUUUCCAUAUUCCAAAUAUAUCUAAACUAUACAAGCACUUCAAAAAUGAUAAUGAUAACAGAAUUUUAAGAACAAAUCAAAAUAAAUAAUGACCUUCAGAGGUUCAAACGGACACUGACUCGCCACAGCUUCAACUUCCUUUUUGCACCUCUCAUUCAAACCAUCAAAAAUUGUGACAAAUAAGGGGUCCACAAUAUCCAUCACCUGUAUUCAGGUGUCAUUGAAAAAUCAACCAAUAAAACCCUCCGGCUAUACCACCAAAUAAUGCUUCUUAAUCUCCAUUUCAACAUCAAGACCGGUAAAUUAACGCACACAAAUGCCUAUGAGUGUACGAGUCCUCUGGUCUAAAAACAGAACCGGUCUCAAAAACCCGCCCAAAAUCACCUCAUACCGACAUUUGCUUGUGACCUUCACUUGAGCCAGCUAUCAGUUUUGGCAUGUGGAUCUCAACAAAAUCCUCAGAAAACAAGAAUUGUCUGAAUAUCUUUACAUUGAUGCAAUCAUUUAAGGACCAGAAUCAUCAGCUCAGAAAUACAAGACAAAGUUAUACAUCUUCAAACCAAACGCAAUGAAAACUAAGUUUAACUUCUCCAGCAUGCAAUUAGAUUCAAGGAAACUCCAGGUUACCUUUGCCAUCUCACUACAAAUAAAAAUUCUAAUUAUUAGAUUAACCAGGAUGCUGAAUGCAGUGUGUUAGGUGUUCGAGAAAAUGCCAAGGUACACCAUCAGCUAGAAUCGAAGCAUCCAGCAGGGCAAUGACAUGUCACAAAGUCAGAGAUGUUGCUGAGUCAUUGUGAUGAUUCAGCAGGUCUCUGAAGAACAAUCUAGAUAGUUAAGUGCCAAGGAUGAGGCAUGGCAUAAGACAAAUAUCCGCUGACACAGUGCAAGGACAUUCGAUACAACCAGUAGAUUCAAGUGAUAUCAGCCGUUAGAUCAUUAGCGACAGCUGUAACUGUACCGAGAAAAGCUUGUAAAGCACGCAUGCAAUUUUCGUUUAUUGUGACAUCAAAUCAAUAACAAGUAUGCGGUGCCAAGUUUCAAAUUUAUUGUUAAUUCUAUAUCAAUAGCUUUAGUUCUUAUUUAUUUUCUCUCUAAUAAAUGGGUACCACAAAGGCACAAACCUUCGGAGGAGAAGCUGAAUGAAUGAUAAUAUAAGCAUCCAUAACCAAGGAAGUAAAAAUUUACAUUCCUAACUUGACUCUCAAUACUGAAAAUAUGAUAUCUGUACGAGUAUUUUAUUCUCAGUUCUGAGUAUAUAAUUAAGGAUUACUUCCGAAUCCGGACAAAAAUGGAAAAGGAUUAUGCAUUUGUUGAAAGAAGCUGCUUUGCAGGAAACAUCUGCUCACGGAUCCCUGAAUUCCCAUUAUUUUUCAAUUUGUUUCCAUUUAAUUUUCAAUCUCGACUAAGUCUAAAGACUUUGGAUGACUAUGAUUGCACCAAGUCAAAGUCUUUGUGGCGUAAAGUCAACCAUUAAGAGAAAGUCUCUGGGGUGCUGCCGCAACAUAAAAAUUUAGAACCCCAACUCAAGGCCUUACUCAUAUUCCAAUCCAAGCUGGUUAAUGGGUUAAGGUUACUUAAACAUUUUAUAUUUUUGUCUAUUCUUAGAUAAUGUUGAAUAUUAUAUAUAUACGAAAAUUUGUGUCUAUUCUUAGACAAAUUCUUGGCGGGAAUUUAACAAACUUCAAGUCUAAUAACACUUUGCAUAACAGCAUGACAGCUUGGCAGUUGACUAAGCACUCUGCUUACAUGGCAAUCUGACUCAGCAGUUUACAUAGCAAUUUGGCUCAACAUAUAUACUCUUAACAGAACCAAAUAAAUAUUAACACGCGUCUCGGCGCAUACCUUGCAUAUCAUCACAUUUAUAUAUGUACGAUGAUAUCACCGCCACCUAAAUUUCUCAUUUAUUAUAUUUGAUUAUUUUCUUUUUUAUUUCAUUGAUUUUCUCGUAUAAAAGUAGAUUUACUACGAUUUACCAUUUUGUUGUUGUGCAAUGGUCACCCUUUUUGUUUGAGCUGCCUAUUGAUGUAUUGCUUUUAGAAAAACUCUCAGAAUAGCUUUACAUUAUACUUUUCUAAUUUGCAAUGAAUGCAUCCAGGAGUAUAGGAAAGAAAGAAAUAAAGGGGGGAAAAAAAAAGGAAAGAAAGAAAUACUCCCCGUGUAUCACCUAAACUAGUUUUAAAACUUCUUGAAUUGGACAAGAAUAAGUUGGCUGACAAGCUUUCCUAACUUCUCACAACUUUUAUUAUUGUUACCUUAUAUUUUCAUAAUCGUUAGAUUUUUAUACUUGAAUUGGUACCAAUCUCUCUUUUAUCAAAUUUAAACAGAGAUAAUUGAUUGAAUGACUCAGUCACCUUCGUCCAAAGGAAUUUUUCUUAUCUACAACGUUCUUAUUUGCUCAAACAGAUGGAAUCCAGAAAACUCAUUCAUUUGAUUCUCUUCAAUUGAAAACUCAUCACUUCCUGCAUGUAAGAGCAAUUUGAGUGCCAUAAAGCCUGUAGUGAAUCUACGUAUUUAGGGAAUAAUUUAAAUAGAAAAGUUAACAUGAAGCUCAUACCCUAAUAAAAAGCUACUCUUAAAAUAACAUGAAUCAAGAAACAGAGCAAAACAGAGUAGCUACUAAGAAGAACACCCAAAUUAACUCCUAAAAUUGACCAAACAUAACAAGCAUCAAAUCAAAGCAUUAAAGCACUAAUCAGAGACUUUACACUAAAUUGUUUGUUUUAAAAUAAUGGGAUUUCAAGAUUAUACUUAAAAAGACCUCUUUUUUUUUCUUUUUUUUUUGGGAAGAGAAAAAUCAUCUGCAUGGUUGAAGGAUCAGAAGCUCAUGGAUGGAACCAAUUUGCUUCAUUAAACCCAAAACGGUGUUUCCCGAAGUCGUUUCACCAUGCAAUACCAUCCAGUACGCAUCAAACGGCCGCAACUCAUGUCGUUUAGCUUAAGUGUCUUAAGCCCAAAAGGCGACACUCGAUGUCGUUUUGCUUAUUUCUGAUUUGCUUCACCCGUCACACAACAUGCAGUGUAGAUGAUGUUUUAACUUUUGAAUUUUAUAUGAUUUUAUUUUGUCUUCUUAAAAGAUAUCUUUUAGAACUGAAGGGCACUUUCGAUGUUUCUUAUUUAUUUUACAGUGACCUCUUCUGGCUCUUUCUGCUGAGGGAGGGUACAAACAAUGAAUCAUCAUCAGAUUAAUCAAAAUAUAACCCCACUCAUAAAAUAAAAAUUAUAAAACGUCUCUUCAGAUGAUUUGAGUCACACACAUCAACAAUCAGAAAUCGUUAACUAAGUAUACAAUUUCUUUUUGGACUCGUUUUUUCCCCAUUGUUGAUCAUGUAAGUUACUGCUAUAUAUGUUGUUUUGAUGAGUAAUUAAUGAUCAUGGAAUUUACUUAAUUUGUCAACUUAAAUCAAUCAUUUAAACUUUUCCGUAACAAAACCCUGAAUUUAUAUUUUGAUCAGGAAUCAGGAUUCGCAAUUACAGGAAGGUGCAGCAGGGCAAGUUCCUGGAGAACGAAUUAGCAGUGUUUAUGGAACUUUCUCCCUAAUAUUGGCUACAUUUUACUAUUUUUAGCAAUCGUCCUUAUAAGUGCAUUGAAAUGGACAAAAUUUUGGGAAACAAUGCAGUUUUUUUUCGUUCUGUGUUUGAUUUGCUCAAGAUACUUAAUUCAUUUUACCUUUGAGUUGCGUAAUUAUCAAUUUCGUUUUGAAGGAAGGAAAAGUUUGCGGCGCUAGCUGCUCUUCUACAUUGACAUUUUGGCCGCUGAUCUUCCCCUCCCUCAGGUAAGUCACAUCACGUAUUAUUAAUUUUAUCUUAAACCUUUAUAGUUUAUCGAACUGAAUGUGGUUAUUUAAUUACUUUGAUUUUCUCACACUUGAUUAUUCCAGGUGCUGGUGAUCUCUCAAAGAAUGAGAGGCACAGAGUUUUUGUAUGCAAUGAUAUUCUCACUUCUUCUUUUUUUUUAUAUUAAUCACGAGGUAUCCUGGGGAGGGCCCCAACUGUGGGAGGCACCUUUAAGCCCGUACCACAACCCAGACUAGAAGUCCCCGCUCGAACCGGGAGGCACAGGUUCUCCCAACAAAGGCGACUUCCCUGCGACUCGAACUGGGGAGCAAACCCAGUCAAGACACUUAAGGGGACUCCAUUACUAGUGGAGCCAACACUUUGUUGGUAUGAUAUUCUCACUUCUUAAUAUUUGCUAAGGGUUAUUCGAGCAUACAGCGUGUUUUCGGAGGCAACAUUGGGCUCAGAAAUACUCGCUGAAGCUACAUGGGCCAUUAUUGGCUUCAAUAUUCUUCUGUACAAGAAAGGAGGUCAUGUAAGUUGAUAAAGCACCAUUCAUGUAAGUCCAUUUAUAUUGACUUAUAUGCACAAGCCUAUAAUACAAACAGCAUUAUUGUAAUACAAAUUUGUUUAGAAAUCCAUGGCCUAUAAUACACCAUUUAUGUCCUAGACUUACUUGUCAACCUUGCAAAAUUUUUGUGCUUGGCAACUGGUUUUGUUGAUGUCGUAAUCUGGAUGAGUUGGUUAGUGACUCGAUCUUAGAUCCCUACAUCAGCAUUAAAUUUGUUUGGUGGGAAGCUGCUAGUUGAUCUCCAAGAAGAUCCUCCGACUAUGAGCAGAACAUUCAUGAGUUGUUGAUCAGUGAGCACCGAGAGCAAAUAAUUGAUGAGCAGACGACCAAUGAGCAGAUGAUCCAUGAGUAGAUAAUCCGCGAGCCUGCGAGCACAAAGAACAGUCAGGGGGGGCGGAAGAUUUCCAACGUAAACCCUCCGACACUCAAGUCAGCGAUUUGGGUCUACUUGGAAAAACUCAUACCACAAUUCACAUGGUUUAACUAUGAUUGUUUUAAACAAAAAGCUUUUAAGUAAAUUUAAAAGAAAAUAAUUGAAAAUAAUUAAUCUUAAAGAAAUCAUAAGCAAAAGAGAAAUUUCCUAAUGGUAGAGAGAGAAAAAGAUUCAAUGGAUUCAAUCACCCAAAGGGAUAGAGGAAAAGAAUCCCCCAUUUUCCCAGGAUUUUUAUAGGAAAUUAUAGCAGUUUUUUCUACAGAGGAUGUAAGUGAGGAAUUUAUGAAACUUUUUGAUAAAAAGAAUUAUCUAGGAUAAGCAAUUGAGCAGAAUUCUUUUACAGUGCAUUUUUGCAAUUCACAUAACCAACGUAGGGGUGGUGCUGUUUGUGUUUUUAAUCGGCAAUAUGCAGUUUGACACAGCAAGAUCACAGAAGAUAAGACAGAAGUGGAAGGAGAUGAAGCAAUGGCCAAAUUUUGAGUAUAUUUCUUCUGAUGUGCGGGGGGCAGUUAAGGAAAUACAAGCUAUACAAAUGGCAAGAAACCAAACGUGUUCGUGUUGAUAAUUUGGUGAAUGAUCUUCCUGACGAACUUGGCAACAAAAUAAAAUGUCUGCAUUAAACUGCUCAAGAAUGUGACGUUGAACUAUUCAAUCACUCAGUGACGUUGAAGCCUUUACUCUUAUGGCUGAUGACUUUAAACAUGUAUUAUCUACCAUUCACACAUUUCGAUCCGGCCGCUCUUUUGUUACAAUCAUACCGGCGUUUUGGGAAGCUUUUACUUGAUAGAAGGAAGGCUAAACAAAGAAAAUAAACAAAGUGGGACAUGUAACAACGACACAAUACAAGAAAAUUUAACGGUACUUGUGACUAAAUCAUUGAUGACAAACUGUUUAUUCUUUAUAUUUACAUGUGAAACCGCAGAAAAGGGCCAAAAUUGUAGUUUGAAAUUUUACAUUUGAUUUUGUCGUCAAUUGAUGAGCUCAUAGCGACAUUAAUUUAUUGAAUGAUAAAAUAAUAAUUUUAUAUUCAGUAAACAUAUGAAAUAUGACUUAAAUUGAAAAUUUGAGAUCUUAAUACAUUGGAGUUACAUUGAGUUGGGAGACGAACUUUGACUCUGAAUGAGACAGCACUUAAUGUGUCAUUUAUUUAUUAAAUUUGUUAAUGGUAUGAUAUUAUCUCAUUACGACAGAAAUAUUAAAUUGCAAUGAGUCUAGUCAAUUGGGAAAACAAUUUGUGCGCGAGUAUUCUCAAUUUCCAAUAUAAAAAUUACAAGACAAAAUUAAAAAGGAGAAUGAUACUUUAUAUCUGUUUAGAAGCCAUUAGUUAUUUGGUCAUAUUCAAAAUUUGUUUUAACCACAUAAGUCCAUGAUAAGGGUUUGCCUACCUUACGUUUAACGUAAGGUGCAUCUCUUCCCAUUGCUGUAGAGAAGACUGUACCUUACGUUAAACAUAAGGUAGCAGCUCCCCAUAAUAAAAGUUAUAAGACAAAAUUAAAAAGGAGAAUGAUACUUUAUACUUGUUUAGAAGCCAUUGGAUGUUUUGGUCAUAUUCAAAACCUGUUUUAACCACGUAAGUUCAUGACAAAAGUUACAAGACAAAAUUAAAAAGGAGAAUGAUACUUUAUACCUGUUUAGAAGCCAUUGGAUAUUUUGGUCAUAUUCAAAACAUGUUUUAACCGCGUACGUAAGUCCAUGAUAAAAGUUUAAAAUACCUUUUGUGGAAAGGAUAAGUAUGAUAUUUUUAAUAAAUAAAUAAAUAAAUAGAUCUAUUAAGUAAAUAUAUAUUUUUUUGAUACAUUGAUAUAUUACAAUUUUGAUAUUUAUAAUUAGAAAUCCAUCGGAACUUAUCUUGAAUAAUCUUAUUACAGCACAACUCGAAUAUCAAUCCUCACUAAAUUAGAGAAAUAUUUACCUUCACUAUUAAUUUAUACUCGGAGGCAAGUCCUAGCGCUGACCCUGCGCUGGGACUUGAAUCCAUGCCCUCAAGGUUGUUGAGGGCAUAGGCGUGCCAAUGGAUUACAGGCCCAUUGGCUAGAUUUAUUUAAUAAAUAGAUUAGGUGGAUAAUUUAGUGAGUUCAAAUAAUUUCGAUUAAUGUAUACCCGAAGAGUGAAGCUAUUGGCACCCUUCAUUAUAAAACUCCACUUUAAAUAAAAUUACAUUUAAGGACAAAUAAGAUUUAAACACACUUAAAAAUUUUCGCAACAAAUUACUUUCAUAAUCAAAUUUUUUUUUUGCAUUCAUAAUCAAUUCAUUUUUUCUUUUUAUUUUUUACUUGUCACUUCUCUCUAAUUAAAAUAAAUUACAAAAAUUUAGAAUAAUUUAUUUUUCUUUUCUUAUUUCUUAAUAAUAGAGAAUUUUUAUACCUAAUACUUUCAAAUUAUAAUUUAAAAUGUGUCAUAUCUAUAACAUAAUACUGUUAUGAGUUUUAAUAAUAUACAAAUUCAAUUAAAAACUAAAAUAAUGCAUUUAAAAGGGAAAAAAAGGACGUUUUUGAAAUUAAAUACAAAUAUUCCAAUUGUUACUGUGAAAAUGUGAUAUUUUCAGCACUAGAGCUACCACUUUAUUGCUUAUCGGAUCCGAAAGGAACUGAUGUGGUCCAAUCGUGUUCGGAUCGGAUUGGUUGCCGUCAUAAUCUGAUCACAUUUAGGUAACUUUUCAGUUUUGUCGAGGAGAAAGGCUGUCAAUUAUGUCUACCUAAGAAAGACGUCACAUAGAUGAUGUAAUCAGAUUUUAUCAUGCGUUUGUUCCUCUUCAAUCGAGAACUUGUCACAUCCUGCCUGUAAAAGUUUUUUUUUUUUUUUGAUAAGCUGUAAAAUGUGUUUCAGUGUUUGUGAAUCUACAAUUAUUUUUUAAGGGCUUAUUGGAACCGCUGAACCACAAGUUACAAUAAUUUUUUAUUAUUUAUUGUGUGUGGUUGAAAUUUAUAUUUCACCGUAAAUUAAUUUUUAUAUAGUUAUUGUCUUAUUUUUAAGGGAGUAAUAUAAAUAGAAACUAAUGCAAAGCUACAUUUACUAUUUGAACAAAAUUAACAUGAAUUAAAAAAAAGGGGCAGCUGCAACUAAUAUCAUUAAAUCAAAGGAUUGAAUUACUAACUAGAGAUUUUAAACAAAACUGUUUGGUUUAAAAUUAUGGGAAUUUGAGAUUACACUUACAGUUUUCAUUUUUAUUUUAUUUUUAUUUUUUUGAAGAGAAGAAAGAAAAAAGAUCAGCUAUAUGAUUAAUGAAAGAGCACAUGGUUAUGCCUGGAAGAAGGGAGGUGGGGGGUGAAGAGUAAUUGGAGUCAGUUAUGUCAGGGCCGACUCAAUUAUAUUUAGGGUUUUAAGCAAAUAGUUUUAAUUAGUUCUUCUUGAAAUUUAGGAUAAAAAAUAUAUAUAUUAGUUAUAUAUUAUUUAUUGAAUAUCAUUUCUUUAAACACUCUAAAAUGUAAAAUUAUUAAAUAAAAUUAUAUUCUACUAUUGCUAAUUCAUGGAAUUUUAAUUCAAUUAUAACAUUUUCACUUAUUGUUUUUUAACUCAAAUCACAUCUUUUUUACUACUCCUUUUCUAGAUUAAACUAAUUUUUCUAUUCUUCUAUUUUCUAAAGUUUUUUGAUAUAAUUUUAUUUCAAAAUAGAUAAAACAAGCACAAAAAAAAAAAUAGUAGAUGAAUAAAAUAAUAUAUUAAAAAGAAAUAAGAAUAAAUAAAUAACACAACUAAUUAAAAGAAUGAUAAAAGGAUAAAAUCAGGAAUUUGAGAUGAAAUCAUAAAUUAACUUUAUCUUUAUAUUAAUUGUUUGAGAAAUUGAGUAAUGACCAAUAACCAUAGAGAAUAGAGAAAACUAUUAGAUUUUUUUUUUCUUGAGUGGAAAGUAGAGGAAGCAAGAUUUUUUUCCCUCUCUCUUUCUUUCUCUCAAAUACCAAGAACAUAUCUUGUCUUGAUUGUUGGAAGAAAAAUUUAAUGGAUAAGUGAUAAAAUGUGGGGCUUUUAUAGAGGUUUAAAAUGAAUAUAACACUUUUUAAUUAUAACAUAUUAAUUCUAACAAUAAAAUAGAGAAUUUGUAGGAUUGAAACUAUUAAUUUAUCGGUUUUGUAGGAAUUAAAACUAUUAAGUACUAUAUUAAAUAAACUUUAUAAGAAUUUGAUAUUUUAUUUAGAAAAAGAUCAUUAUAAAAUAAUAAUAAAUUAAAUGAAUAAGAAUGACUUUUAAAUUCAUUUUUCCCUUUUACAUACAAAAUAAUCAUCUCAUGAGGUCUUCAUGUAAAGUGGGGCCCUAAGCAACCACCUAAAUUGCCUAGAGGUCGAGCCACUAUUGAGUUAUGUAACGAACCGCCGGAGCAUUGAUCGGCGUGUAUUAUAUCAAACUGCUAACAUGUAUGAAACAGUCUUAGAGUGCAAAUAAGAGAAUAGAAAUGGUCAUAAUACAGGAACAUUUGUUGGUUCGAAGGAGCAACAAUUAGGAAUGGCUAUUUAUUUAAAAUAUGAAGUGGAAAAUUGAAUUAACUUAUUUGAAAUAGAAAUGGUCACAUGAAAAUUUUGAAUUAAUUUAUUGAAAUAGGAUCCUACAAAUGAAGUGUUUUAAUUUCGUAAUUUAUUAUUAUUAUUGUUAUUUUGUUUUUAAAUAUUAAAAAAAUUAAGUUUAUAAUACUCUAAGCAAAUUCCACAUUGACAAAGUACGAGAGAGAUGUUGAGUUUAUAAGGAGUGAUUUACACCUUAAGACGUAUUUUGGAGUGUAUGGGCGCCCCGGAAACAAACUCAUGCGGGCCUUGUUAAGAGCCAAAGCGAAUGUAACACCCUAGGCAAAUCCCUCAUCGGUAAAGUAUGAGAGAAAUACUGAAUUUAUAAGGGGUGAUUCACACCUUAAGAAGCAUUUUAGGAUAUAUGAGUAUCCCAAAAAUAAAUCUAUGCGGGCCUUAUUAAGGAUUAAAACGGACAAUAUAUUAUCAAAUCUAAGUUAGAUCACGACGGAAUUCGUUUUAGUUUCUAGCGGACAUCCGAUUCAUCGUAAUAAACGUGCCCUUGUCCAUAUAUAAAUUGCAUUUGCCUAUGAAUUCUUCAAUAAUUGAAAAAGAUGGGUGCUUGUGGGACACUCAUUUAUGAUACAAUUUAGGAAUAAGAACUUAGUGACGCAACCAUUACUAACAGCCUCUUUUUUGGAGGUACUCGGAUGGCUAUUAUUGCCAUUUAAAAGAUAACAUAAAUUUUGUAGAUUGCCAGCUAUGGCCGAGCUUUUUUUUUUUUUUUUUGAGAAAAGAAGAAAAAUAGCCAUUUGAAAGAUAACAUAAAUUUUGUAGAUAGCUAGUUAUGUUUGAGUUUUCAAUUUUUUUUGAGAAAAAAAGAUACUUAUGUCUUUGAGAUUUAGAAAAAUGAUCACAUAAAUUCUCAAAUUUUUAAUAAGAUAAAUCCAGACCUCUUUUUAUUAUAAUAUUUUUUAAUUCUAUAACUAAAAAAAAAUUGACUAUAAUAUUUUAUAAUAAAAAAAUAUAAGUGUAAUGAUCCGCCCCGAAUCUCUAGGACGAGUUUAUAUAAUCUCGCCAACCGAAUUAAUAAUAAUCUAAUAUCUAGAAUUCUACCAAAAAUUUGGCAGUCUCCUAUAUAAUUAUGAUAUUCUCAAACCUGCAAUUUUUUAAAUUUAACACUCCUAAAAAAUGAUAAAAUAUUCAAUCAACCUCCACAACUAACUUUCUCAUUCAAAUACCAGUAUCCUUUAAAUAUAUAAUGUCAAGAAUAUAAUAAUUUAUCUUUAAUCACAAAUAAGUAAUAAAUUAUACAAUUCAAAAUAUCCCAACAAAACAUCUAUGAUUCCUAACAUCAUCACGUGGCCAUAAUUCUAAAUUUAAUUAUAGUUGCUGGAUCGAUUGAUGUACCUCCAAAUCUAAUGUGGGAGAGGGGGGAAUAUAAAAAAAAAGGAAUGAGUAUAAAACUCACUCAAUUAAAAACUCUAUAACAUAAUACUAUUUUUAGUUUUAAUAAUAUACAAAUUCAAUUAAAAACUAAAAUAAUGCAUUUAAAAGGGGAAAAAAGGACGUUUUUGAAAUUAAAUAUAAAUAUUCCAAUUGUUACUGUGAAAAUGUGAUAUUUUCAGCACGAGGGCUGCCACUUUAUUGCUUAUCCGAUCGGAAAGGAGCUAAUGUGGUCCAACCGUGUUCGGGUCGGAUUGGUUGCCGUCGUAAUCCGAUCAGAUUUAGGUAACUUUUCAGUUUUGUCGAGGAGAAAGGCUGUCAAUUAUGUCUCCCUAAGAAAGACGUCACAUGGAUGAUGUAAUCAGAUUUUAUCAUGCGUUUGUUCCUCUUCAAUCGAGAACUUGUCACAUCCUGCCUGUAAAGUUUUUUUUUUUUUUUUUUUUGAUAAGCUGUAAUAUGUAUUUGACUGUUUGUGAAUCUACAAUUUUUUUUAAGGACUUGUUAGAACCGUUGAAUCACAUAAUUAAAGUUAUAAUAAUUUUUUUAUUAUUUAUUGUAUACGGUUGAGAUUUGUGCUCCCGUAAAUCAACUUCUAUGUAGUUAUUGUCUUAUUUUUAAGGGAAUAAUAUAAAUAGAAGGGUAAUGUUAAGUUACAUGCAUGUACCUUACAUCCCUCUCACAUGAAUAGUGUAUGAAUACUAUUCAUGUGAGAGGGAUGUAAGGUACAUGCAUGUAACUUAGAGGGAUCCUAAAUAGAAACUAAUACAAAGCUACAGUUACUAUUUGAACAAAAUUAACAUGAAUUAAAAAAAAGGGCAGCUGCAACUAAUAUCAUUAAAUCAAAGGAUUGAAGUACUAACUAGAGAUUUUAAACAAAACUGUUUGGCUUAAAAUUAUGGGAAUUUGAGAUUACACUUACAGUUUUCAUUUUUAUUUUUUUUGAAGAGAAGAAAGAAAAAAGAUCAGCUAUAUGAUUAAUGAAAGAGCACAUGGUUAUGCAUGGAAGGCGGGAGGUGGGGGGGGGGGGGGGGGUGAUGAGUAAUUGGAGUGAGUUAUGUAACGGACCACCGGAGCAUUGAUCGGCGUGUAUUGUAUUAAACUGCGAACGGGUAUGAAACAAUCUUAGAGUGCAAAUAAGAGAAUAGAAAUGGUCAUAGUACAGGAACAUUUGUUGGUUCGAAGGAGCAACAAUUAGGAAUGGCUAUUUAUUUAAAAUAUGAAGUGGAAAAUUGAAUUAAUUUAUUUGAAAUAGAAAUUGUCACAAGAAAAUUUUGAAUUAAUUUCUUGAAAUAGGAUCCUACAAAUGAAGUGUUUUAAUUUUGUAAUUUAUUAUUAUUAUUGUUAUUUUGUUUUUAAAUAUUUAAAAAAAUUGAGUUUGUAACACCUUAGCCAAAUCCCACAUCGACAAAGUACGAAAGAAAUUCUGAGUUUAUAAGGAGUGAUUUACACCUUAAGACGCAUUUUGGAGUGUAUGGGCGUCCCAGAAACAAACUCAUGCGGGCUUUAUUAAGAGCCAAAGCGGACAAUAUCUUGUAAGGUCUAAGUUGAGUUAUGACAUUAUGGUAUCAGAGCGGCUCCGCGUGUCCUCAUGAGUGAUGGUGGGGCAAACUUCAACGAGGACGCUAAGUCCCUAGGGAGAGUGUAUGUAACACCCUAGGCAAAUUCCUUAUCGACAAAACACGAGAAAGAUACUGGGUUUAUAAGAGAUGAUCCACACCUUAAAAUGUGUUUUAUGGUGAAUGGGCGCCUCAUAAAUAAAUUUAUACGGGUCUUAUUAAGGAUUAAAGCAAACAAUAUCCUAUUAAGUUUAGGUUAGAUCAUGACAGAAUUCCUUUUAGUUUCUAGCGGACAUCCGAUUCAUCAUAAUAAUCGUACCCUUGUCUAUGAAUUAUAAAUAGUCUAUAAUAAAAAAAAAGUGAGUAUAGUAGUUUUUGAAAAAAAUAAAUUUACUUAAAAUAAUCUAAUUUUUCCCAUAUUAAUUUCAUCAAAAUAUCAUAAGGACUUCUAGUAACUUUUCAGUUUUGUCCAGGAGAAAGGCUGUCAAUUAUGUCUCCGUAAGAAAGACGUCACAUAGAUGAUGUAAUCAGAUUUUAUAAUGCGUUUGUUCCCCUUCAAACGUCACAUAGAUGAUGUAAUCAGAUUUAUCAGGCGUUUGUUCCACUUCAAUCGAGUACUUGUCACAUCCUGAGUGUCUGUGAAUCUACAUUAUUUUUUAAAGAUCCGUUUAUGUUGCAAUCGCUCUAAGAUAGAAUACUCCUUCAUAACUACAUAAUUAAAAAAUAUAGAUUAAUUUCAGAUUUAAAACAAAUGAAGUCUUUGUUUUUAUUUGCAAGACUUUUAUAACACAUUAAUAUGUAACGCUUCAAAUUUCACCGGCGGAUUGGAUACAAAUUUUUUAUCCUUAUACUAAACAUGUGUAGAGUAGUAAGAAACAAGUUAAAAAAUAAUAAAAACACACACUUUGAUGUUGUUAUUUUUAUCUUAAAGUAUUAAAAUUUAUAUUUCUUUUAAUCUUUUAACUUGUCUUUUACGAUAUUAAAAUAAGAAAAUCCUUUGAAAAUAAGAAAAUCCUUACUAAAAGUAAAAGGGGACUUGCAUGUCAUGUGCACAGUGUACAAUAUGUUUCAAAUGUUACUUGAUAGAAAUUACUGAAAGCAUUGUAUCAUUGGAAAACUCUUGCUGCAUGCUACUAAUUUGACAGUUUAUCAAAUAUUUUUUUGCUGCUCGCUACUUAUGAAUCACGUUUAGUCCCCUUUGAAUUGUGUGCAUCCACCAUCUGUUAAAUUUAUCUUUGAAUUUUCUCGCUUCCAUAAGGGACACAAAUAAGAAACAGACAAGGACGUUCAAAUCCCCGAGUUGUAAAAUUUACAAGAUGCAUCGGGUAGAAAAAUCUUGUAGAAACCUCAGCUGAUGAACUCUGUAAAGAAUAUCCUCAUUCAUUCAGCUAACCCGUUGAACCAAAAUGCAAAAUCAUCCUCAAUAAGUACAAGAAACAAAAACUUUACAAGAAUAACUUAUGAAACUUGAUCAAUUUCUGCGGAGACUACAACGUCAUUUCAAUUUGUGAGGUAAUUGCCAUGAUGCUGACUGAAUCUCAUUAAAUUAAUGAAAAUAAUACAACAAAUGGUACGAUAACUCCAAAUCAGCUAUCACAUUAUUAUUUUUAUUUUUAUAAGUAUCACAUUAUGUAUUUGAUUCAAAUAAGAGAACAAAAUUUGCAUUAUUGAUAGAUAUUAUAUUGUUUCUUGAAACUGUCUCUUGACAAAUCGCCCAUUAAUGCAGUCAUUGCUGACAAAACAACUUCGUGAAAAAGUUCACCAAGAUAGCAAGCUGAUAGAGAAAUCAGACAAUGCAAAGCAUGUCAUCCUCACACUUCAAUUUCAGCGAAAAUGGAUAAGCCAUUUUGUUCAACUUUCACCUCCGGAAGUUGAAAAGGACCGGAAGUUGAAAAGGACAUGAAUGCAAUUAUGCAAGUUCUUAUCAAAGAUGCAAUGAAUGACGCCUAAAAUAGGGAUAGCAAUGGCGAGGGGAGGGGAGGGGACGCACUUAUUUAUGAUGUUCUUUAUAUAUCUGUCUCCUCCUCGUCCCUAUUAGAAUGGUUUGAGGGGAUUUUUGUUUCCUCCCUGAAUAAUAAGAGGGGAUUCCUAAGGGAUCUCCGAUCCCUGAAUAACUGAUACAUUUUUUAUUUCUGAACUUAAUUUAAUAAUAUUAAAAUAAAAUUUUAAACAAAGGUAAUGUUUGAUAAUAUAUCUUAGAUUAACAUUAAUUCAAUACAAAAAUUACACUACAAAAUACAAAUAAUUAGAAUAAUUAUCUUCCUCAACCUUUAUAAUCCUAUAACAAAAAGAAAUUACUCUUAUAUUAAUAAUGAAAUAAAUGAAAUGGGUAUAGAUAUUGAAAUUAAUAUCUAUAUCUAUAUCUAUAUAUAUAUAUAAAGCUAGGACUUGAGGAGGUGAUGUGGCAUCACCAUUUUGCUUCUUUGUAUAUUCUCUAUUAUCUAAUAAAUAGAGAUUUUUUUUUAGAUUUGACUUUUCAUCUCCUUAUAAUUAAUUUGAUUGUAUUUAACACAUUUAAUAAAUAGUAACUUUAUUAAUAUAUAUCAUUCAUCAUCUUUUUAUAUUUUCUUUUAUCUAAAAUAUCUAAAAUAUUGGUGGAUAUUCUUUGUACUUUUUUUUCUCUUUCUAUUUAAAUUCAACAAUAUGUAAUCAUUAAUAAUAAUUAAUUAUAAGUCUUUUGAAACAUUUAUUUAUUUUAUUAUGCUGGCAAUUAAACUUUAGUAGAUUAAAAUACAUGAAUUAAUUAACAUAGGAAGAGAGGUUCUUUCAUUUUCCCUCAACAAUGCCACUAAGGCCUAAUUUUAAUGCCAUAAUCCCAUAUUUAAUUAUGCAACCUUUUGUUGAGUGUCUUUUGGCUUCUUCAAAAUUUAUUAUACUAUCAAUUAAACUUUAGUGCCUUAAAAUACAUCACCUAAUCUAUCUCUCUCUCUCUCUCUCUCUCUCUCUCUCUCUCUCUCUCUAUAUAUAUAUAUAUAUAUAUAUAUAUAUAUAUAUAUAUAUAUAAAGUUGGGACUACAAGAGGUGAUGUGACAUCACCAUUUCUCAUCAUUUCAUAUUCUCUAUUAUCUAAUAAAUUGGUUGAAAUUAAAAAAUAAUUACAUUACAAAAUAUUAAAAUAGAAAAUAAUUAUUAGAUUAUAAAUGAUUACAUGUCUUUUCCUCUUUCUAUUUAAAUUCAACAAUAUGUAACCAUUAAUAAUAAUUAAUUAUAAGUCUUGAAACAUUCAUUUAUUUUAUUAUGCCAACAAUUAAAUUUUAGUGGAUUAAAAUACAUCAAUUAAUUAAUAUAGGAAGGAAGGUUCCUUCAUCUUCCCUCAACAAUGCCAUUAGAGCCUAAUUUUAAUGUCAUAAUCCCAUAUUUAAUUAUUCAAUCUUUUAACAAUGCCAUUAGAGCCUAAUUUUAAUGUCAUAAUCCCAUAUUUAAUUAUUCAAUCUUUUGUUUAGUGCCUUUUGGCUUCUUCAAACUCCAUAAACAUUAAAUAUUUAAGAUUUGUGGUAUCAUUAUUUCUCAUCUUUUUUUAUUCUCUAUCAUCUAAUAUAUUGGUUGAGAUUAAAAAAUAAUUACAUUACAAAAUAUUAAAAAUCUAUAUCUAUCUAUAUAUAUAUAUAUAUAUAUAUAUAUAUAUAUAUAUAUAUAUAAAGUUGGGACUAGAGGAGGUGAUGUGGCAUCACUAUUUCUCAUCUUCUUGUAUUCUCUAUUAUCUAAUAAAUUGGUUGAUAUUAAAAAAAUAAUUACAUUACAAAAUAUUAAAAAUAAAAAAUAAUUAUUAGAUUAUAAAAGAUUACAUGUCUCUUCCUCUUUCUAUUUAAAUUCAAUAAUAUUUAACCAUUAAUAAUAAUUAAUUAUACAUCUUGAAACAUUUAUUUAUUUUAUUAUGCCAACAAUUAAACUUUAGUGGCUUAAAUAUAUCAAUUAAUUAAUAUAGGAAGGAAUGUUCCUUCAUCUUCCCCCAACAAUGCCAUUAGGGUCUAAUUUUAAUGCUAUAAUCUCAUAUUUAAUUAUGCAACCUUUUGUUUAGUGCCUUUUGGCUUCUUCAAACUCUAUAAAUAUUAAGUAGUUAAGAUUUGUGGCAUUAUUAUUUCUCAUCUUUUUAUAUUCUCUAUUAUCUAAUAUAUUGGUUGAGAUUAAAAAAUAAUUACAUUACAAAAUAUUAAAAAUAGAAAAUAAUUAAUAGAUUACAAAAGAUUACAUGUCCCUUCCUCUUUCUAUUUAAAUUCAACAAUAUGUAACCAUUAAUAAUAAAUUAAUUAUAAGUUUUGAAACAUUCAUUUAUUUUGUUAAGCCAACAACUAAACUUUAGUGGUUUCAAAUACAUCAACUAAUUAAUAUAGGAAGGAAGGUUCAUUCAUCUUCCCUAACCAAUGCCACUAGGACCUAAUUUUAAUGUCAUAAUCCCAUAUUUAAUUAUGCAACCUUUUAUUUAGUGUCUUUUGCCUUCUUCAAACUCUAUAAAUAUUAAGCAUUUAAGAUUUAUUAUGUUUGGGGUUUUUUUUUAUUUAACCAACAUCCUCUUUAGAAAUGUUCUUGUCUUUUUAUUUUUUGACUUAUUUAAAUUUUUAAUAUUGUGUGCUUCAUGGAGUACUCUUUUCUUUAUGAGUUAAACAAUGAUAAAGAUAAUUGGAUGAUAAGGGUUAGGUUUUUUAAGAUGUGAGAGUCUGUUAAUACCAAGAAAAAUAGAGAGUUGAUUAGUAUGAACAUAAUUUUUAUUGAUGAAAAGGUUGUGUACAUUUAACUAUACACAUUAAUAUAUAUUUUUAAUGUUAACAAAAAAAUAAUUAACUUUCAUAAAUAACAUUAGUUUUAUAAGGCUGCGUCAUCUUAAAAAAAAUAAUUAAUAUUUUUUAUCAGUUUCAUCAAGUGCAAAGUAAUAAAAAAAGAUAAUACUAAAUUAUUUUUUUAAAGCCGCACGAAGUGCGGUUCUAUUUCCUAGUAUAUAUAUAAAGCUAGGACUUGAGGAGGUGAUGUGGCAUCACCAUUUUGCUUCUUUGUAUAUUCUCUAUUAUCUAAUAAAUAGAGAUGUUUUUUUUAGAUUUGCUUUUUGAUCUUCUCAUAAUUCAUUUGAUUGUAUUUAACUCAUUUAAUAAAUAGUAACUUUAUUAAUAUAUAUCAUUCCUCAUCUUUUUAUAUUUUCUAUUAUAUAAAAUAUCUAAAAUAUUGGUGGAUAUUCUUUGUACUUUUUUUUCUCUUUCUAUUUAAAUUCAACAAUAUGUAAUCAUUAAUAAUAAUUAAUUAUAAGUCUUUUGAAACAUUUAUUUAUUUUAUUAUGCUAGCAAUUAAACUUUAGUGGCAUAAAAUACAUGAAUUAAUCUAUCUAUCUAUCUAUACAUAUAUAUAAAGUUGGGACUACAAGAGGUGAUGUGGCAUCACCAUUUCUCAUAAUUUCAUAUUGUCUAUUAUUUAAUAAAUUGGUUGAAAUUAAAAAAUAAUUACAUUACAAAAUAUUAAAAUAGAAAAUAAUUAUUAGAUUAUAAAUUAUUACAUGUCUUUUCCUCUUUCUAUUUAAAUUCAACAAUAUGUAACCAUUAAUAAUAAUUAAUUAUAAGUCUUGAAACAUUCAUUUAUUUUAUUAUGCCAACAAUUAAAUUUUAGUGGCUUAAAUAUAUCAAUUAAUUAAUAUAGGAAGGAAGGUUCCUUCAUCUUCCCUCAACAAUGCCAUUAGAGCCUAAUUUUAAUGUCAUAAUCUCAUAUUUAAUUAUUUAAUCUUUUGUUUAGUGCCUUUUGACUUUUUAAAACUCUAUAAAUAUUAAGUAGUUAAGAUUUGUGGCAUCAUUAUUUCUCAUCUUUUUUUAUUCUCUAUUAUCUAAUAUAUUUGUUGAGAUUAAAAAAUAAUUACAUUACAAAAUAUUAAAAAUAGAAAAUAAUUAAUAGAUUACAAAAGAUUACAUGUCUCUUCCUCUUUCUAUUUAAAUUCAACAAUAUGUAACCAUUAAUAUAAAUUAAUUAAAAGUUUUGAAACAUUCAUUUAUUUUAUUAAGCCAACAACUAAAUUUUAGUAGUUUAAAAUACAUCAACUAAUUAAUAUAGGAAGGAAUGUUCCUUCAUCUUCCCUCACCAAUGCCAUUAGGACCUAAUUUUAAUGUCAUAAUCCUAUAUUUAAUUAUGCAACUUUUUAUUUAGUGUCUUUUGGCUUCUUCAAACUCUGUAAAUAUUAAGCAUUUAAGAUUUGUUAUGUUUAAGUUUUUUUUUUAUUAUUUAACGAACAUCCUCUUUAAAAAUGUUAUUGUGUUUUUAUUUUUUGACUUAUUUAAAUUUUUAGUAUUAUGUGCUUCAUUGAGUACUCUUUUCUUCAUGAGUUAAACAAUGAUAAAGAUAGUUGGAUGAUAAAGGUUAGGCUUUGUAAGAUGUGGGAGUCUGUUAAUAUCAAGAAAAAUAGAGAGUUGAUUAGUAUGAACAUGAUUGUUAUUGAUGAAAAGGUUGUGUACACUUAACUAUACACAUUAAUAUAUUUUUUUAAUGUUAACAAAAAAAUAAUAAACUUUCAUAAAUAACAUUAGUUUUCUAAGGCUGCGUCAUCUUAAAAAAAAAAUUCAUAUUUUUUAUCAGUUUCAUCGAAUGCAAAGUAAUAAAAAAAGAUAAUAUUAAAUUCUUUUUUUAAAACCGCACGAAGUGCGGUUCUAUUUCCUAGUAUAUAUAUAAAGCUAGGACUUGAGGAGGUGAUGUGGCAUCACCAUUUUGCUUCUUUGUAUAUUCUCUAUUAUCUAAUAAAUAGAGUUUUUUUUUUAGAUUUGUUUUUUCAUCUUCUCAUAAUUAAUUUGAUUGUAUUUAACUCAUUUAAUAAAUAGUAACUUUAUUAAUAUAUAUCAUUCCUCAUCUUUUUAUAUUUUCUAUUAUAUAAAAUAUCUAAAAUAUUGGUGGAUAUUCUUUGUACUUUUUUUUCUCUUUCUAUUUAAAUUCAAAAAUAUGUAAUCAUUAAUAAUAAUUAAUUAUAAGUCUUUUGAAACAUUUAUUUAUUUUAUUAUGCUAGCAAUUAAACUUUAGUGGCAUAAAAUACAUGAAUUAAUCUAUCUAUCUAUCUAUACAUAUAUAUAAAGUUGGGACUACAAGAGGUGAUGUGGCAUCACCAUUUCUCAUAAUUUCAUAUUGUCUAUUAUUUAAUAAAUUGGUUGAAAUUAAAAAAUAAUUACAUUACAAAAUAUUAAAAUAGAAAAUAAUUAUUAAAUUAUAAACGAUUACAUGUCUUUUCCUCUUUCUAUUUAAAUUCAACAAUAUGUAACCAUUAAUAAUAAUUAAUUAUAAAUCUUGAAACAUUCAUUUAUUUUAUUAUGCCAACAAUUAAAUUUUAGUAGCUUAAAAUACAUCAAUUAAUUAAUAUAGGAAGGAAGGUUCCUUCAUCUUCCCUCAACAAUGCCAUUAGAGCCUAAUUUUAAUGUCAUAAUCUCAUAUUUAAUUAUUCAAUCUUUUGUUUAGUGCCUUUUGGUUUCUUCAAACUUCAUAAACAUUAAAUAUUUAAGAUUUGUGGCAUUAUUAUUCCUCAUCUUUUUUUAUUCUCUAUUAUCUAAUAUAUUGGUUGUGAUUAAAAAAUAAUUACAUUACAAAAUAUUAAAAAUCUAUAUCUAUCUAUAUAUAUAUAAAGUUGGGACUAGAGAAAGUAAUUUGACAUCACUAUUUCUCAUCUUCUUGUAUUCUCUAUUAUCUAAUAAAUUGGUUGAUAUUAAAAAAAUAAUUACAUUACAAAAUAUUAAAAAUAAAAAAUAAUUAUUAGAUUAUAAAAGAAUACAUGUCUCUUCAUCUUUCUAUUUAAAUUCAAUAAUAUGUAACCAUUAAUAAUAAUUCAUUAUAAAUCUUGAAACAUUUAUUUAUUUUAUUAUGCCAACAAUUAAAUUUUAGUGGAUUAAGUAUAUCAAUUAAUUAAUAUAGGAAUGAAUGUUCCUUCAUCUUCCCUCAACAAUGCCAUUAGGGUCUAAUUUUAAUGUUAUAAUCUCAUUUUUAAUUAUGCAACCUUUUGUUUAGUACAUUUUAACUUCUUCAAACUCUAUAAAUAUUAAGUAGUUAAGAUUUGUGGCAUUAUUAUUUCUCAUCUUUUAUAUUUUCUAUUAUCUAAUAUAUUGGUUGAGAUUAAAAAAUAAUUACAUUACAAAAUAUUAAAAAUAUAAAAUAAUUACUAGAUUACAAAAGAUUACAUGUAUCUUCCUCUUUCUAUUUAAAUUCAACAAUAUAUAACCAUUAAUAAUAAAUUAAUUAUAAGUUUUGAAACAUUCAUUUAUUUUAUUAAGCCAACAACUAAACUUUAGUGGUUUAAAAUACAUUAACUAAUUAAUAUAGGAAGGAAUGUUCCUUCAUCUUCCCUCACCAAUACCCUAUGACCUAAUUUUAAUGUCAUAAUCUCAUAUUUAAUUAUGCAACCUUUUAUUUAGUAUCUUUUGGCUUUUUCAAGCUCUAUAAAUAUUAAGCAUUUAAGAUUUGUUAUGUUUGAGUUUUUUUUAUUAUUUAACCAACAUCCUCUUUAGAAAUGUUCUUGUGUUUUUAUUUUUUGACUUAUUUAAAUUUUUAGUAUUGUAUGCUUCAUGGAGUACCAUUUUCUUUAUGAGUUAAACAAUGAUAAAGAUAGUUGGAUGAUAAAAGGUUAGGCUUUGUAAGAUGUGGGAGUAUGUUAAUACCAAGAAAAAUGGAGAGUUGAUUAGUGUGAAUAUAAUUUUUAUUGAUGAAAAGGUUGUGUAAACUUAACUAUACACAUUAAUAUAUAUUUUUAAUGUUAACAAAAAAUAAUUAACUUUCAUAAAUAACAUUAGUUUUAUAAGACUGCGUCAUCUUUAAAAAAAAAUUCAUAUUUUUUAUCAAUUUCAUCAAUUACAAAGUAAUAAAAAAAUAAUACUAAUUUUUUUUUAAAGCCGCACAAAGUGCGGUUCUAUUUCCUAGUUUUUAAUAAAAGAAUUUACUCUUGUAUCUCAUACUCAUUCUAUUCUUCCUCGAGGAAUGUUGGAAAUUGAGAGAUAGCAUCAGGUUUCAAAUCUAAAACAAUAAAAAUAAUAUAAGCAAUAUAACUCAUAAUCUAAAAUAAUUUUGGGUCAAGACCAUUGAAAUAAGGUAUGAUCAAAUAAUAAUUUAGGACUACAACUACUUAACCAGGCUUGAAAUUUUUAUAGUAGAUGCGUAUAAAUAUUUUGAUAUUUGUUAUUUAUACUAAUAUUUAAUAUUUUAUAAUUUAAAUUUUAUAAUUCAUUUAUUAAUAAUUCUAAAAAAUAAAAUCAAAAUAAAAAAAUUAAUAUGAGGAAAUGGGGAAAUGGGUAGGGGAUGGGGAUUCCAUCUCAUCUUCGUCCCUUCCCCGAAUAAGAAAUUUGAUAUAAAAUUAUUCUCAUAUCCUCCCCGAAUAGAAAAAAAUCUCCAAGGGUCCCCGUCCCCGUGAGGAGUUUUGCCAUCCCUAGCCUAGACUCCUAUAGAGUAGAGUUAAGCUAUUAAUCACUGCACCGAUACAUCAAAAAUUAAGUAUAUGGAUCAAAGACAUCUUCAUUCAAGAGUCGAGAAAUUUCAAAGCAAAGGGGCCAAAGAUGGUGGUGCCAUUUUGUUCAACUUUCACCUCCGGAAGUUGAAAAGGACAUGAAUGCAAUUAUGCAAGUCCGUAUCAAAGAUGCAAUGAAUGACGCCUAAACUCCUAUAGAGUAGAGUUAAGCUAUUAAUCACUGCACCGAUACAUCAAAAAUUAAGUAUAUGGAUCAAAGACAUCUUCAUUCAAGAAUCUCGAAAUUUCAAAGCAAUGCUUGUCAUUUACAUAUCAAGCAAAGGGACCAAAGAUGGUGGUGCUCUAAUAUUUUGUCUAGUCAGAUUUCAGAUUUACCUUGUUCAUGUCUUUUUCUUUGGUGCAGAAGUUGACCGUGGCCUAUUUCAACAUCAUUCAUCAUCCUCUCAAUCUCCUCCUUUUUCACUGGCAGAACCAAAAAUAUCUUGCACCUCAGUGAAAUAUCAUUGGAGACAAAAAAGUUUCUCCAGCUUAUUCAACAACCAAAACCAGCCAAAUAUCAUCUCCAACCACAAAGCAAUGAGCCAAGUAAUUAAAUUUCCUUGAUGCAGGCUGAGGAAAGCCAAUAAGCAAUCAAAGGAGAUGGAAGAAUAGCACUAUUAAUUCAAGACCAACAAAGUUUGCAGCAAAACUGAUAGUAUUUAUGAUCUUGCAAAAGUCAAUCUUGUCUGGUUAUCAACACUGCAAUUAUAGCUUUUGUGCACCUCAGUUAGCCUUAAAUUGUGAAAGUUUCAGCCAAACCAACAAUUUCUAACCUACUUCUCAUGGUUAUACAAGCUAACUAGCAUCUGCUUCACUGCAUUAUGCUUAAAAAACAAUCAUACUAAAUGUCACAAUUCUGGUAUAUAAAAGUUCAGCCGUCUACACCAUUCAAGUUGAGCAUUUGACUGCAUCUCUAUGGGUACUAUUAAGGGAUGGCAAUAAUCAGUUAUGAUACGAAUAAUUGACAUCCAUAAUCCGAUAUAUCCGUCCACACCCAUGUCUAAUUUUAGAGGUUUGAUAUGGAUAUGGAUUUUUGUUUAUAUGGAUAUUGAUAUGCAUAGAUAUUCGGGAAAAAAAAUUCUACUUAACACUAUAACGAAUAGGAUACUUCUUUUAUUAGAGCUUUGUCAUGCUGAUGAUGUGCAAGAUAUCAUAAAUAAAGGGGAUCGUAGGGAACGAAAUGAAAUAAGUUUAAAGAAUUUGAAAGAAACUCUGAUUAUUCUCUUAUUCAACAACCCGGUGUGAAAUUACAUUUUACACGAGGUCCAUGUAAUUAUAUUUGUCAUUAAGAAUGAGCAUUUGCCAAAAGAAGAGACACAUGUCAUGACAAUGAGUGAUUGACAAGUGACAAAAUUGAUAGACACCCGCCGAAUAUGUCAUAACACAAACUUCUAAAAUUGCUACAGGAAAUGAAAUAUAACGAUGCACGAUGCCCAUCCAAGUUGUUUACUUGUAUUGUCCAACUGUAAAUGAGUACAGACAUGGUACCAUCAAUCGUUGUUAUUAAACUAGUCAUUGACCUCAGUCACUCCUUCAUAACCACAUAAUAAGGAGUGGCUAUUUAUUUAAAAUAUGAAGUGAAAAAUUGAAUUAAUUUAUUUGAAAUAGAAAUGGUCACAAGAAAAUUUUAAAUUAAUUUCUUGAAACAGGAUCCUACAAAUGAAGUGUUUUAAUUUCGUAAUUUAUUAUUAUUAUUGUUAUUUUGUUUUUAAAUAUUAAAAAGAAAAAAAGAAAAAAAUUGGUUUGUCUUUAGUUUCUAGCGGACAUCAGAUUCAUCAUAAUAAGCGUACCCUUGUCCAUGUAUAAAUUGCAUUUGCCUCUGAAUUCUUCAAUAAUUGAAAAAGAUGGGUGCUCGUGGGACACUCUCAUUUAUGAUACAAUUUAGGAAUAAGAACUUAAUGACGCAACCAUCACCAACAGCCUCUUUUUUUGGAGGUACUCGGAUGGCUAUUAUUGCCAUUUAAAAGAUAGCAUAAAUUUUGUAGAUUGCCAGCUAUGGCCGAGCUUUUAAAUUUUUUUAUUUUUUUUAGAGAAGAAGAAAAAUAGCCAUUUAAAAGAUAACAUAAAUUUUCUAGAUUGGCAGUUAUGUUUGAGUUUUCAAAUUUUUUUCAGAAAAAAAGAUACUUAUGCCUUUGAGAUUUAGAAAAACAAUCACACAAAUUCUCAAAUUUUUAAUAAGAUUAAUCAAGACCUCUUUUUAUUAUAAUAUCUUUUAAUUUUAUAACUAAAAAAUUUGGCUAUAGUAUUUUAUAAUAAAAAAUAACUAAAAUGACCCACCUCGAAUCUCCAGGACAAAUCUAUCUAAUCUCACCAACCGAAUUAAUAAUAAUCUAAUAUCUAAAAUUCUACCAAAAAUUCGGCAAAAUCUCUUAUAUAAUUAUGACAUUCCCAAACUUGCAAUUUAUAAAAUUUAACACUCCUAAAAAAUGAUACAAUAUUCAAUCAACCUCCACAACCAACUUGUUCAAUCAAAUACCAAUAUCCUUCAAACAUAUAAUGUCAAGAAUAUAAUAAUUUAUCUUUAAUCACAAAUAAGUAAUAAAUUAUACAAUUCAAAAUAUCCUAACAAAAUAUCUAUGAUUCCUAACAUCAUCACAUGACCAUAAUUUUAAAUUUAACUAUCGUUGUUGGGUCGACUGAUGUACCUGCAUAUCUUUUGGGAGGGGGGGGGGAGGGAAUAUAAUAAAAAAAUGUGAGUAUAAAAUUCAGUGAGCUCAGUUGAGUAUAUUAUGAAAAAAAAAAUUUACUUAAAAUAAUCUAAUCUUUCCCAAAUCAAUUUCAUCAAAAUAUCAUAAGAACUUAAAUAAACUUAUUUAAUUUAAAUCAUGUUUUAAUAUAACAAUAAUACAUAAUACGGCAUGAAAUCAAGGAAAACAUGAUACUUAUAAUAGCAAACACCAAAUACCGAAUCUAUCACCAAACAAGUACUCGGGGGAAUAAUCUCAUCAUAUCCGGACCUCGACGGAUCGGCAAUCAGAGAACCAUCAUGGCCCGAAGCUAUACGAAUAGACGGGGAAGUACUAUCUCAUAUCUCAUCAUAUAUGUGCAUGCAUAAUCUAGUAUCCAAAGGACAAGGCGCCCAAGAAUGCGGUCCAAAGCUUGUGUGUGUACUCAGAGGGGCCCCAAAGACCUAUAUUUCAUCUGUAUCAUCAUAUCUCAUCUGUAUUUCAAUAUCUAUAUCUCUGUAAUCAUCAUACUACAUGCAUAUGCCCCUAAAAGGCAAAAAUGCCCAAACACAAGACCCAAAGCCUCUAUUUGUGUUCAAACGGGCCCUAAAAGCUUCUCAUCUCAUCUGUAUCACUGUAUUUAGAUGGAAAGAGUAUUGUUUAAUGAGUUUAAAAACAACAUCUUAUACAUAUAUACAUAAACAUAAAAUGACACUUAAAUCUCAUUUCCUUUUCAUGUAACAUACUUUAAAUCUACUUUAUUCUCUUUAAAACCAUUACCGUGCAUUUACUGAAAAAUGAUAAUAAAAUCAUUAAUCAAACUCAUUUUUUGUAAUAAUAAAUAUCAACAUAUAGAUAAAAAUCCAUUUUUUAGAAAGUUAUUAAAUUCGACUGUUAAAUACUUAUUUAUCAAACAUGUUGUACUGUAUCAUAAAAUCAUAAUAUAUUAUGAAAAUCGAUUUUGUAUAUUCCACUCAUAGUGACUAUGUUCGAGCUCGAAAUCGUCAAUGUCUGUGGGUUGAUUCUUGUUCAUGGAUCCUCCUAAUAUAAUGAAAUAACAUAAUCAUUCUCUUAAAUAUGAAAUACAACUAAUUUUACGUAAUAAAUUUCGAAACGAAUAUCUAUCAAUAAUAAACUAUUCCCGUAUGCAUAAAAUUACCAAAAUACCCCAUGCAUGCCAAAAUUACCAAAAUGCCCCUUAUAUCAAUAUUUACCAAAUUAUCCUCAUAAUCCUAAAUUACCAAGCUGACGUCAAUUCAGAUCACAAAAAUAACCACAAUGUUAGAAAUUAUGAAAUUACCCUUAGAGAAUGUCCUUAACAACGUAAAUUACUAAAUUACCCCCGUAAUCUCAAAUUACCUAACUGCCCUAGUCCAAAAUUACUAAACUAUCCACCAAUUUUGGAAAUCACAAAAUUAUCCCCCACCGUUUUGUGAAAUUACCGAACUACUCCUGGCAGUUAAUGGUGACCGGACUUCGGUCGACGGCGACGAGAAGAUCAGAUCUGAUAGUUCUUAUCUCAGUGAGUCCAAUGGUGCCGGCGGUGACCAGCCACGCGCGCCGACGGUGGUAGAUCGAGCUUCCCUAGUCGCGAGCUUUUCGGUGGUCGAUCGGUGGAAUUCCAACCGUUUCAGGCAGCGAGUUUGGUUGGAAAAUGAUGAGGGUGAGCUGAGGAACAAGAUCCAAGCAGUGGCGCGGCCUAAUUCCGGCGAAAUCAAUGGCGACGAAAACGAGUUGAGAUGUGGGUUUUUCAAGCUUGAUCGCCGGCAUUCUACCCAUUUUCCGAUGAGGUGACCGGAAUCGGUGGCUGGAGUUGGGUCGGGUUGCGCGAUUUCGGGUCGGGUCAGGUCAAACUCGGUCAGCUUCUCUCUUUCUCUCUCUCCCUCUCCCUUUCUCAAUUUAUACAACCAAUUCUCUUUUUUUUUUUUCAAAGCUUAAUACAAAUUAAGCUAAUACUGAACCCAUAUUGAAAAAAAAAUCCGACUACCCAACCUUUUAAUCACGC